UAAUGCAUGAAUGCAUCAAGUAAUCCGGAUCAGAAUAGUAAAACCAAAGAAGCACAACUUUUAUUCCCGCAGAUAGUCUUAGCCUAGGUUACAUAAAUUAAUGCAUGAAUGCAUGAGCAGCAGCUGCAUGCAAUAUUAUUGAACCCAAAUCACAACAAAAGGAAAACUUAAGACAAUGCCACUUUCGCAGGGAACGCGAUUGCAUUUAGCGUAUGCAACAAGCCUUUUAAACCUAUAGGUGACCCUGAUAGGACGAGUGAAGUCUCGUGAGGGUUUCCAGUGACGCUACCCACAAACAUCGUAUUAACUUAACAGGAUGAUCAUCCUGGAAGUUUUUCGACAAUGAAGAAAUGUUCAUGGGUGGGGCCUCCAGGUUCUGCAAUGAGGGCAUUUUCGAACUCGUUUCCAGAUUUUGGCUUUAAAAGGUUUCCCAUUUUCUCAUGGUGGAACUUGUAUAUGCCUUCGGUGUACGGUCCUGGUGGUUUCACAACCUCAGGCUUGAAGAGUGUACAUGACCACAGCGUUUUAUUUGGCUGUUUCUCGUCAGCCCCGGCCACAAUCCACGAACUGUCUUGGCUUGCCGUUAUCCAGUAUUUGUCGUUGUAGGUGGAUUUUAUAUGCACCAGACUGGGGAGGUUUACGUCCUUCUCCACUUUGAACCUUGCGUAUUUGCUCUGAACAUCCUCUCCGGAGCAUUGGAGAAUAUCUUGCAUCUUUUCGGUGGCUUGGUCUUUGUAGACCAAGUAUUUACCGCUCGUGAAUGAUUUAAGAGCAAUGAACUUUGGUAAUUCUGCCAUUUCUGAUGAUCUCUCGCUCGCGCUUCAAUUUUUUUUUAUGUAAACUCACUUCUCUCUCUCUCUCUCGUUGCUUAUUGCUUUUCCUAACUCCAACCUGCUGUGCUAUUUAUAAUCAAGCAAACCCAAACCCUGCAUGCAGCUCUGGCUUCUUUUUCUUGCUGUACUGGCCCGCGAUAAGAAAAUUGAAGCCACAAAAAAAAAAAGUCGAGCCAGGUGGCAGUUUUGAAAGGUCAAGUAAUAUUGUUCUUGAUAUAAAACAAACUAAAGCGUGCUCCACGUCUUCAAAUAAAACAAAGUUAAGGCUAGUAAUUAUCGACAUCGAUAUUUUGCGAUAUUAUCGUCGAUAUUGUCAAUAUUUAUACGAUAUGUACAUGGAUAUGUUUCGAAAUAUCCGUGAUUCAAAAAAACCGAAAUAUCCUCGAUAUUUCCUCGAUAUUAUCGAUAUUUCAGACUAUGAUGUGAACUUGAUUAUGUAAUUUCUACUACAUGCACUUAUGGGACAUAACCAUUUAUCAAUUAUAAUAAUGUCACAUAAAAAUUGAAGCCACAAAAAAAAAAAAGUCAAGCCAGGUGGCAGUUUUGAAAGGUCAAGUAAUAAUGUUCUUGAUAUAAAACAAACUAAAGCGUGCUUCACGUCUUCAAAUAAAACAAAGUUAAGCCUAGUAAUCUAUUCUCUGUUGUAAUGUGAACUUGAUUAUGUAAUUUCUACUACAUGCACUUAUGGACAUAACCAUUUAUCAAUUAUAAUAAUGUCAUCGACUAGGACUGAACAGCGACGGCUGAAGGCCCAGCUCAUUCUUAAUCUUAGGCAACACAUGUGCUGGGUUUCAUUUCAUAAAUUCAUAACCAAACCAAGCUAGGUCAUAGAAGGAAGCAAAUUAAGCAAUUGAAAUCCACAUCGGCUGAAAAAAUCUCUCUUGAAAAACCAUAUAAUUGGAGGGUCUGCAAAACUAGACUGUGUGUACGUAGCCAACUUUAUUAAAAUGCCAAUUCAAGUCCUAUGAACACACAUUUCCUUGAAAGUUGCUGGCCAAAUUUUCUUUGUUUUGGUUUUCAAUGAGUUCGAUUUCCUUGAGCAUCACUGAAAAGAUAUUAUAUAUGUGAAAUCUUUUUGUCAGUCUUUGAAUUUACCCAAUGUGGGUGAUCAAUUUUUAUGAUUGCAUUCUAGACUUCUCCUUAGUACAAAACAAAACUACGUGAUUGAUUGAAACGUCAUUAAUUAAUUUAGACAUAUAGGCAUUUGCAUUAAUUCAUUCUAGAUAGUAGAUACACAUCUCCAUAACGCAGAAAGAAUUAGCAUGUCCUUAAUGUGAACUUCGUUAAUAAAUUGAAGAGGAGUUGGAGAACAGUUAGAUGAAUGAAUUAAAGAGGAGUUGGAGAGACGCGGAUGCAAGGGCACACUAAGAAAACUACAGGGUUUAUUUAUAGUUUUAGUGCUAAUAAUGGGUAUAUGACUAAAUAUCUCUAUAAAAAAAAUUAGUGAAUUUAAUCAGAAUGUAAUGACUUAUAGAAUUUUACCUUGGGGCACUUUAAGUCCGUUCCUCCUUAAUAAAGCAUCACUUAAUAGAUUUGAAUUAUGAGCUGAACCCUCCCACCCGCUAAAAACGUAAAUGAAUUCUAAAUCAAAGUUACAAGCUACUGAAACCAUUUAUCAAUUAUAAUUAUGUCAUUAAUUAGGAUUGAACAAUAUGAUUGUAAUGCCAUUUCUAAAGCGUGCUUCACGUCUUCAAAUAAAACAAAGUUAGGCCUAGUAUUUUCUUCUUUAUUGUUUCGGUGCUUAAUGUGAACUUCAUUAUGUAACUUCUAUUACUUGUACUUAAGGGCCAUAGCCAUUUAUCAAAUUAUAAUGAUGUCAUUAAUUAGGAUUGAACAACAAGGUCGUUGAGAUGUUUACAUACUUUAAUUACAGACAUAUGAUAAGUUUAGGAGAGUGAUAUGUAGUUUCAAUUAUUCCUUUCACACAUACCCUAAACUUUAAACCCUAAACCCCUUUCUCUUAAGCAAAAUCUAUCGGUUUUGGGUAAGUUUGAGACACUUGUGGACGAUUGUUUUUAAUUUGGACCCUAUGAAAAUACCUGUAGGAUGUCUAUAUAAAUACCUAGAGAAGGUUAAAUAGGCUAAUUCGAUUUUUGCAAUGAAUAAUAAUCAACUUUUGAAGUAGGAUUGAUAUGAGUUAUCAAUCCUGAAAUGUGCAGAGCUUAAAAUAAAAGAACACACAGAUAUUUAUUUUACGUGGUAAAACCCCACAUCUGGGGAAAAUCCACGGGACUCCUUAGUCCAGAACGAAUCCACUAUAGAAUUGAGAUUACAAGAAGUUCUCACACACACUUAUCCUAGACUCAAUGUUUACCGACUUAUUCAUAAUGUUUACCGACUUAUUCAUAACUCAACUUUUGUCAUGGGAUGAUCUUCGACACUCCUUAUGUUGAACGCAAUAUUGGUCACGAUUGCUUCAAGCUCACCGGAGGAUAAACGCCACAAACGUCUUGAUGCCCUUGACCGUAUGAGCCACUGACAUGCAUAUGUAUGCAAUAUGAAUGAUGAAUGAGUUUGAUAAAUCACCAAGCAACCAGGAGCCCUUGAUGACUUACCGAGAAAAAUAAGUACAGUAGCUUUUCCAAAAAACAGAUUCAAUAUGCUCUCAAAAUCAAUGCGUUGAAAUGCUACACUAUGAAAAGAAGACACCUUGGUUUUAUUCAAAACAGGUUCUCUCAGUCAAGAGAAACCUACUUGACCACCAAUCCAAUUCACGAAAGACUUUCAACCUUAUUCAACUACCACACAACAAAACCUGAUGCAAUAUGGACACUAGUUAAACAUGUCAAACAGGAGACCACUCAUACUGUUCAAGCAUGAAUGUUUCUUUUGAUUCAAUUUACAUGCUAUGUGAUGAUGCCAGCUAAUGCACGAUGUGAGGAAACCUCAUGACUUUCUACUACAGCCAAUCCUUUAAAACAAUAUCUACCUAACAAAUUAAUUAGACCGAUCAAGUAGGAAAUAAUAUCAAGAGAUAAAAUAUAAUCUUAUUGAAAAUAGGAUUAACAUAAAAAUACUUGAGUGAAAAUAAUUUCAAUUAGGAGUCCUAUAAUGAAUGCAUGAUUAUGUUAUGAUUUACCUGUUGUCAAGUUUCUCAUAUGGUCAGGUCAUGCCUCGGAAGUAUAGGGUUGAGAGAGUUGUGCCAAAGCGUCCAGUAACAAUUCCUCACAAACUAAUUUUCAACUUAUGCUAAAGUCUAGGAAAUGCCAAUACGAUUUUCGUACUAACACCCUACAAACAAAUAAAUUAAAGAAAAAAAAGUAAAAGAAGAAAAGAAUAUAAAUUCAUAUAUCUCAAUUUCUUGUGUGAAGCUUUUAAAUUCAUUUCAAAACUAAAAUUAAAAUUUAUUUGUUUUGGUUUUCAAUAAGAUUAAGUUGGAUUUCCUAAAGCAUCAUCACUGAUCUGAUGGCAUCAGAUAAGUCUUUGAAUUACCUAAUGUGAUUGAUUGAUUGGAAUGUAUCCUUAAUACUAAAAAAAAACCAUGUGAUCGACACGUCAUUGAGCACUUCCACUCUAUCGGCAAGGGCAAGGCAAGAGCAAGAGUUUAGGAUAAGAUUUUUAGUUGCCACUUGUCCAUAUUUAUUAUAACAUUCACAUCUCAAAUUUCAUAUAAAAUUUUCGAAUAAGAUUUUCGAUUGCCACGUAUCCAUAUUUAUUAUAAAAUUCACAUUUCACUCAUCAUACAAUUGAAAUACUUGUUCACUCAUCAUACAAUUGAAGAUAUCAAGAAAUUUCGAAAAUUGGGCAUCCACUUUGUUUUUUCGAAGACGUUGAGGGAACGGAAUUGGCGGUACAUAUGGCUUUACAAGGGCAGCAGGUUGAGAUAAUUUCUCUACAGUAGCAGGUUCAAUUUCUGGAGAAAUUUCAUCAAGUUGUGCAGUAGUUCCAGCAGUAAUAGACGACGACGACGGCACGUUAGUAAUUUCUGAUGUCUCUGCAGUUUGUUGAUGGAUAUUCUUUUCUUCAUCCAAGUCUACUGCUGUUUUUAUUGGCCUCCCAUUCCAAAGAGUUAUCGCCCUCGCAUGUUCUUGGUUUUUCGGAUUAUUCUCUGUUUGGCUUGGCAAAGCUCCAUUUACUCUUCCUGUCAAUACAUUAGCUAGCUGGCCCAUCUGAACCUCCAAGUUUCGAAUAGAGGCAGCUUGGUUCUGAAGGGUCGUCUCGGUUUUGCUCAUAAAUUGAUUUGUAUUGACAGAGAGAGUGUUGACAUUUCCAGCAAGUUGAGUAAUUAUAUCCUCCAAUCCAUGCUUCUUUUCUUGAGGUGUGAAAUCAGGUGGAGGUCCCUGUACAUUUUGGUUAUUACUCCAUGGAAAAUUCGGAUGGUUCUUCCAUCCUGGGUUAUAAGUGUUGGAGUAAGGAUUAUUCCGUUGUCGAUUAAAAUUAGAGACUUGGUUCACUUGUUCAGAUGGUGAUGUGAAUGGACUAGCUCCACACUCAUUGCCAUGAUGAGGUCCUGCACAAAAUUCACAACUUAAAUUAGUAUACUGAAUAGCAUUAACAUUUAUAGUACCAAGUUGUUUAGACAUAGUAGAAAUUUGCGCAGUUAACGCAGAUAUGGCGUCAAUCUCAUGAAUUCCAGCUUUCUUUGGUGUUGAUCUCUCACUAGGCCAUUGAUAGUUAUUUGACGCCAUCUCUUCCAGCAAGUUAUACGCUUUAGUUUCUGUUUUUCCCAUCAAAGCUCCUCCGGCUGCAGCAUCAAUUGUUGUUUUGCUUGUAUUGUUCAAACCAUUGUAGAACGCUUGAACUUGCAUCCAAGUAGGUAGGGCAUGAUGUGGGCACUUCCUUAGCAUAUCCUUGUAUCUGUCCCAUGCUUCAUAAAAAGGUUCCAUGUCAUUCUGAGCAAAUGACAUGAUGUCAUUUCUGAGUUUCGCAGUCUUUGCAGGAGGAAAGAAUUUAGCUAAAAAUUUCUUGGCCAAGUCGUCCCAUGUAGUAAUCGAAUUAGGUGGUUGAGAAUUCAACCAUGACUUUGCCUUUUCCUUUAAUGAGAAAGGAAAAAGCCUUAAGCGAACAGCAUCAUUGGUAGCUCCAUUGCGCUUAAAUGUGUCACAUAUCUCCAAGAAAUUAGAGAUAUGCCUAUUAGGGUCUUCUUGAGGUAAACCACAAAAGAUGGAGGAUUGUUGAAUCAUUGAAAUUAUGGCUGGUCUGAUUUUAAAAUUAUUGGCAUCAAUGGUUGGACGACGAAUGCUCGAUGGUGAUGCCACCACAGAUGGGACAUCAUAGUCCCUUACUGGUUUUGCUUCCACAGCCAUAGGUGAUGGCUUUUCCAAUAUUGCGUCCUUGCCCCUUUUGAGUUUGUUAAGCUUGUGAAGUGUUCGCUCGAUCUCUAGAUCUAAUGGUACAAGCACAAGACUCUGCGAACGUCUCCCAAAACUCAUGCACUAGGUGAAGUACCUAAAAAAACAAAAAACAAAAUUCAAAUUAAAAUUCAAAUCAAUCUAUAUCGAUAUUAAUAAAAUUUAAAACACUCUCCGACGGCGGCGCCAAAAACUUGUUGUGAUAUUUAUUGCAAGCGCACAAUUCGCACAAGUAAUAUAGUGAUGAGUGAAGUGUCGUUCCCACGAAGAGUGAUUUAAUUUAACAAGUACCGAUUGUGAUUAACCCAAGACUUUAUUUGAACAAUUGAUGAUGAGAUUUGAUUGAUUAAUUAACUAAAACAAUGAAUAAAAACAAGCGUAGAAAAAUAAAGUAGUGAGAUUCAAGUUAUGAGAGCACUAGAGCUUCCGAUUUCACCAUAGCCAAUUCUACCCAAUUCCUUUAGCAUGUUAAUCCUAAUUAUUCUCUAUGUUGACAGUUGAUUUUCCCUACUUUAUUCGAUACUCCAUCCCUGGUUAUACCAAAAGUAUUCUUAUUACCAACCCACUCUAUCCCUAGUAAUGGAAUUAAGAUAAUAAGAACCCAUUAAAUUCCUUGGAAAACCUACAAAACAACCACAUAAGUCAUGACAAACAUCUCUGUCUAAUCAUGUAACUCAUGACAUCUAUUACAAGAAGCAACCCCAAAUUGGAUAUUCCUAUUUUCAAUUUAGCAUCAAAACAAUUAAAUGUUGGCCAAACAUUCAAAGCAUUAAGCAUGGUAAUAAAUACUCAACAUGGAAAAAAUACUUGGAAUUAACAUCGACUAAAGUAAUUGAGCAUUCAUGGCUAGGCUACAUCGUAGCCCUAGCAAGAAGAAAUUAGUUCAUGACAACUUUAAUAAAAACCAUGAUAAAUAGUAUCAUAGGAAAGAAGUAACCAAUUGAAGAUUUGAUCUCUGCACGACAGCAACUCUAGCUCCAGGUUGUCUUCUUUGUCUCUCUAAAACUCUCUCAACAAUAGAUGAUGGGUAGAUGAUGGAGGAUGGAUGAUGGGUAAUGGAUCCUUUCAACAAUGACCUAAACUCCCUAUUUAUAAAACUCCUAGAAAUCCUACCUAAAGAAUAAUUACAAUUGUUAUAAAAAUAGGAUUCCUUCUAAAAUAAGGUCUUCUUUAUUUCUCCUUGUUUAACUUGAUAAGACUUGCACCAUCUUGAACUAGGAAAUUUGACAACAUUCCUUGCAACAAAAGGAAUGACUUGGCUUCUUUUUUUAUUGAUUUUCAUCUCCUUGCCUUUUUUAGCACACUUUCUCCUAUUUCACAAUUCCUUCACAAAUCUCACAAAACUAAUUAAAAACAACCAAUUUAAUCCAAGAAAUUAAUAAAUAAAUAAGCAAAGGAGGCAUAAAAUAUAUAUAAAAUAUAGACUUAUCAAAUACCCCCAAACCUGUCUUUUGCUAGUCCUCGAGCAAAACUGAAAAUCAAAAAUAAAUUAAAACAAACAAACUAAAUUAAACCACUUUUGCAGGUAAUCUCGAUGGCACUUAGCAUGUGCCACAAGCCUUUAAACCUCUAGGUGCCCCUAGUAGGAGGAGUUGUGUCUCUUGAGGGUUUACCAGUCAUGACACCCACAGACACUUCUUGCAAAACAAAUUCGUUAAAGCAAUACUUCCAACAAACUAAUAAUAACCAAUGAAUGCUAAUCACAAUUCAAAAACUAAAGUUAUGCCACUACAAAUAAAAUGCACCAUAGUGUAAAGUGUAAAGUGUAAAGCCAAAAAUCCAACAUUGAAACAUAAAGAUAACCACAUUAGGCGUGUGUACAAAUUCGUCUCGACUCUAGGCCUUACUGGAUAACUCUCAAUUUUCUCACAGAACCUAGGGUUGCACUCUUACCCCGCAUAUGUGAAUAAAGUUAGGUGAAGAAUUCAAAAUAUAAGACACAUAUGCAUCCAAGAAUCAAUAAAAGGAAAUUUCUAACAAUAGAUCUCAUGGAAAGGAAAUCAAAUACUAAAAACCAUAGAUGAAGUACAUACCUCUACUUCCGAGUAAGAAGUCCCCAAAAAUCCGUUAGGUCUUUACUAUGGUUGUAAUGAAGGGCUAGGUUAUGGGUUAUGAAAGAAAAGGAAGGAAAUACUAGAACUUGAGACAUGCCAAGGCAUUUAUCACGUUAUAAGGCUCGGCUCUUCAAAUUUACUUCACAGAGGCGUCCAGGAUUUUUGAUAUGCUUCACAUUUUUUUUUCUUUAAUAGAUUUCUCUUUUUUUUUUUCCUUUCUUUUUAUUUAUUUAUUUAUUUUUAAGCACAUAUUUCCUCGGUACACGCCACCUCUUUUGUUAAUUUAGAGAUUAACCUUCAUCCUUGUCUUCAUGCCAUGGCAUAUCCCAAGUUAUAGGGUAUGGCUAAAAAUAGGGUGAAAAGGGUAAGAAAAUAUUGUGGGUGAUGAAAGAAAAGGCUAAGUGUUUGGCUUCAAAGGGUUGAUGGCACACACAAUGGGUAGGACAUGAGUUUUUAUUUAGUGGCUAGAACAUGCAUAGCCUAACAUCAUUUCUCAAGGUCCAUCCAACUCAAAAGUAAAAGCAUGAGAUGAUUCCAAAAUAGAGAGUAGUUCUUAGUAUUCAACUCAAAAGCCUAAUUGAGAUCAAUUUAAAUAAGAAAGAAAGAAAAUAGUGAAUAAGACUAAUCCCAAAUACUCUCUCAAUGAAUGGCAAUUUGGCUCAAGUAUCUCACAAUGGUAGUCUCCACUAUUUCUCCACAAUCAUCCAAGUAUAGCUAGCUUGUCUAUUAAAAUACUUGAAGCAUGGCCAUGUGAAGUGCUAUACUUAUGAUGCAUAAACUUUCAUGGCAACACUUUAGUUAAAGAAAUAUGAUCAAACAUCACAUAUACAUCACUAUUAGUAAGAGAAAGUAAAAGCUUUAACAAAUUUUUUUUUUUUUUUUAAAAAGUUAAAGGCAUUUUGUGAUUUUUUUCAAACAAAUGUGAGUGAAUUUAUGGGCCAUAAUUGCUUAGGGAUAAAGAAAUUUCAUCAAAAGGAAGAGGACACACCUGGAAUAGCUCCUAGAAACCUCUGAUCACAAAUGGAAUGGAUCAUAAUUGAUUUGGAAUGAAAUUAGAAAAUUCUGGAAAAUUGACCUUUAGCGACGAAAAAUCUGAUGAAACACCGUCGCUAAAAACCCUUUUGUGACGAAAAAUCUUCAUAUUCUGGGUAGGUAGCAGCUAGUCUUUUUUGGGUUUUAGGCCACUUUUUUAGCUUCAAAUCUCCCUAAAACGUCAUGUAAAGCACUUGAGACCCCCAAAACAGUUUCAAAUCAUCAUAAUAACCAUUCUAAACAUGUUGGUGGCUUCAAAUUUGCCUGAAAAACAUCAAAAAGGAAAAUAUGUAAAAUUUUUAAUUUUGACCAAAAUAAGAACAUAAUAACCUAUUUUGCUAUUUUCUGGGUUUUAAAGUCAUCUAAUGGCCAAAACAACAUCUGGAACAUGUUUGCAAUCAUCACGGGGCUAGAAAAAAUCGAGAAAUGUUCUUUGAAACACAAAAUCCUUUCUUUGGAACACAAAAUCUUUUUUUCUUUUUUUUUUCUUUAUGACUCAAAACUCAAACAAAAAACAACUAAACUCCACACCCCCAAAUCUAAAUUAAGCAUUGUCCUCAAUGUUUAAAGUAAAUGCAUGUAAAAAUUAGUAAAGGCAUAGAAGGAUGGAAAAUAAAGGGAAAACAAAACAAAAUAAAAUAAAAAGGAACGAAGGUACCUAGUUGGGUUGCCUCCCAACAAGCGCUUGAUUUAUAGUCCCCAGCCCGACUUGCGAGGUCAUCACUUUGGAUCAUGUAGAGGAAUGAAAGUUCGCUGUUGAUCAAAAUUGACUUCCAAGUAUGGCUUCACUCAUUGGCCAUUUACUUUGAAAAUAGUACCUUGUUCGUCAUGCCUAACCUCAAUAACUCCAGAAGGAAAUACUUGCACUAUUGUAAAUGGUCCAGACCAACGUGAUUUCAACUUCCCGGGAAAGAGUCGGAGGCGGGAAUUAAAUAGGAGAACUUUCUAACCAGCGAAGAAAUCCUUCCUUAGAAUAUGCUUAUCAUGCCAUUUCUUUGUACGCUCCUUGUAUAUCUUGGAAGUCUCAUAAGCUUCAUUACAAAACUCAUCCAUAUCAUUCAAUUGAAUUGCCCGUUUUUCUCCUGCUGCAAUCAUGUCAAAAUUGAGUGUUUGGAGUGCCCAAUGUGCCUUAUGUUCGAGCUCAACCGGUAAGUGACAAGCUUUCCCAAAAACUAGACGAUAAGGAGACAUGCCAAUUGGUGUUUUGAACUCCGUUCGAUAGGCACAUAAGGCAUCAUCCAAUUUCAGUGACCAAUCCUUUCUUGAAGCACUCACCGUCUUUUCCAAAAUUCGUUUUAAUUCUCUAUUGGAAACUUCAACUUGUCCACUAGUUUGUGGAUGAUAGGGAGUAGUAACCUUGUGGGUAAUACCAUAUUUAGCUAAAAGAUAAUUAAAUUGACGAUUGCAAAAGUGUGUACCUCUGUCACUGAUGAUGCCACGCGGAGUCCCGAAUCUGGUGAAAAUAUUUUUUUGGACAAAUUUGACAACCACCUUGGCGUCAUUGGUAGGGAGAGCGACGGCUUCAACCCAUUUCGACACAUAAUCAACAGCCACCAAUAUGUACUUGUUCUUCCAAGAUUCAGGGAAAGGUCCCAUGAAAUCUAUUCCCCAGACAUCGAACAAUUCAACCUCUAGAAUAUUAUUCAAUGGCAUCUGAUUUCUGCUAGAAAUAUUUUCAGUGCGUUGGCAUCGAUCACAGGCAGCUACAAAUGCAUAGGCAUCCUUGAACAAAGUUGGCCAAAAAAAUCCAGAUUGUAAUACCUUGGCUGCUGUUUUGGAGGCACCAAAAUGCCCCCCACAUGCCAAUGUGUGGCAAUGUCGCAAUAUGUCUUCCAUCUCCUCCUCAGGCACACAUCUCCGUAUAACUUGGUCAGGGCAAUGUUUCCACAAAUAUGGGUCGUCCCAAUAAUAAUGUUUAACCAAGGAGAAAAACUUCUUCUUCUGAUGAAACGAUAAAUCAGCUGGAAUGAUAGUACUAGCUAAAUAAUUCACAAAGUCAGCGUACCAAGGAGCUUCGGAUGAUCGAAUGGCAUACAAGUGUUCAUCAGGGAACAUCUCCAUAAUGGGUGCAGCAUCAUCACUCAUCUUUACCUCACUGACCAGCCGCGAAAGAUGGUCAGCUACCACGUUUUCGGACCCCUUUUUGUCUCGAAUUUCAAGAUCAAAUUCUUGGAGCAGUAGUACCCAGCGAAUUAAUCGUGGUUUUGCAUCUUUCUUCGAAAGUAAAUACUUUUAUCCAAGGAGAAGAUUACUACUAACAAUUCUUUCUCCGUGGUGGUAUAAUUCCGCUGGGCGUCAUUCAAAGUACGACUGGCAUAAUAAAUUACAUGAAGUAAUUUAUUUCUUCUUUGACCCAAAACUGCCCCUACCGCAUAGUCACUAGCAUCACACAUAAUCUCAAAAGGCAAGUCCUAAUCCGGUGCGACAAUGACAGGUGCAGAAGUAAGCUUCUCUUUCAAGACAUUAAAAUUAAAUUCUACAUCUUUAAGAAGGAGAUUGCAUAAGGGCUUCGUGAUUUUGGAAAAAUCUUGGAUAAACCGCCGAUAAAAUCCAGCAUGACCCAGAAAGCUUUGAAUCCCCUUUAUUGUAGUGGGCGGUGGCAAUUUCUCUACGGUAUCAAUUUUUGCCUUAUCAACCUCUAUGCCUUUAGCUGAAAUUUUAUGCCCUAGGACUAUCCCUUCUUGCACCAUAAAAUGGCAUUUCUCCCAAUUCAAAACCAAAUUGGUUUCUUCACAUCUUUUCAAAACUAAUGCCAAAUUAUGUAAACAAGAAUCAAAUGAUGAGCCAAAAACAGAAAAGUCAUCCAUAAAAACCUCAAUGAAGCGCUCCACCAUGUCCGAAAAGAUGCUCAUCAUGCAACGUUGAAAGGUGGCAGGGGCGUUACACAACCUGAAAGGCAUGCGCCUGUAUGCAAAAGUGCCGAAUGGGCAUGUGAACGUCGUCUUUUCUUGAUCUUCAGGUGCAAUUGGAAUUUGAUUAUACCCAGAAUAUCCAUCUAAAAAACAAUAAUAUGAAUGCUCAGCAAGUCUUUCCAACAUCUGAUCAAUGAAAGACAAGGGAAAGUGAUCUUUCCUUGUCGCAGUGUUCAAUUUCCUGUAGUCUAUGCAGACAUGCCAUCCUGUAGUUGUUCUUGUCGGGAUCAACUCAUUCUUAUCAUUUUUCACCACUGUAAUACCCCCUUUUUUCGGUAGGACUUGAACUGGACUCACCCAACUACUAUCUGAAAUCGGGUAAAUUAUUCCAGCAUCUAAUAACUUUAAUAUUUCAGCUCGCACAACUUCUUUCAUAUUCGGAUUUAAUCGACGCUGAUGCUCAACUGAAGGUUUAAAAUCAUCUUCCAUCAGAAUACGGUGCAUACACAUGGAACGGCUAAGUCCCUUAAUAUCUGCAAUAGUCCACCCUAUUGUCGUUUUAUGCUCCCUCAAAACUCAUAGUAAUUUAUCUUCUUCUAGUUUACUCAAAUUUGCAGCAAUAAUCACAGGAAGAGUUUCAAAAUUACCCAAGUAUGCAUAUCUUAAGUGGGAAGGUAGGGGCUUCAAUGUGAGGGUUGGUGCAGUAAUGACACUGGGUUGUGGCUUGGAGGUUGUGACGCUAAGCUCCUCAAAUUCGCGCCACCUUCCAGGGGGGCGCGGUUUCAUUGCUUCCAAAAAGUACACCAUCUCAGAAAUUUUAGGAUCCUCAUGCUCAGUAGUAACGGAAUGCACAAGGCAAGCCUUCAAUGGAUCAUAUGGAUGUUCUUCUUUAAAUUUUUCAGAGACAACUUUUUCCACUAUAUCCACUCGGAAGCAAGAGUCUGAUUCCACUGGGUACUUUGUUGCUUCAAAGACAUUGAAGGUCACCUGCUCAUCAGCCACUCGCAAAAUUAAUAAACCUUUGUCCACAUCAAUUAAUGUCUUCCCGGUUUUUAGAAAGGGGCGGCCUAAGAUAAUAGGGGUUUCGGCAUCUUCUUCCAUGUCUAAAAUCAAAAAAUCUGCUGGAAAAAUGAGCUUAUCAACUUUGACUAACACAUCCUCAAUUAUGCCUUUGGGAUAUGUUAUGGACCUGUCCCCCAUCUGCAAAGAAACAGUGGUUGGGUGAAUUACCCCCAACCCAAUAUGUUUAGCAAUAGAAGAAGGCAUUAGAUUAAUACUGGAUCCUAAAUCACAUAAAGCUUUUUCAAAGUAAGUGGUUCCAAUAGUGCAAGGUAUAGUAAAACUCCCUGGAUCCUUUAGCUUAGGUGGUAGCUUCCUCUGCAAAAUAGCACUGCAUUCUUCGGAUAAUUUCACUAUCUCAUGUUCGCCCAAUUUCCUCUUCUUUGAUAUAAUAUCCUUCAUGAAUUUGGCAUAACUCGGCAUUUGCUCCAAAGCAUCGGCAAAAGGAAUAUUUAUUUGUAAUUUCUUGAAGAUAUCAAGAAAUUUCAAAAAUUGGGCAUCCACUUUGUUUUUUCGAAGACGUUGAGGGAACGGGAUUGGCGGUACAUAUGGCUUUACAAGGGCAGCAGGUUGAGAUAAUUUCUCUACAGUAGCAAGUUCAAUUUCUGGAGACAUUUCAUCAAGUUGUGCAGUAGUUCCAGUAGUGAUAGACGACGACGACGGCACGUUAGUAAUUUCUGAUGUCUCUGCAGUUUGUUGAUGGAUAUUAUUUUCUUCAUCCAAGUCUACUGCUGUUUUUAUUGGCCUCCCAUUCCGAAGAGUUAUCGCCUCCGCAUGUUCUUAGUUUUUUGGAUUAAUCUCUGUUUGGCUUGGCAAAGCUCCAUUUACUCUUCCUGUCAAUACAUUAGCUAGCUGGCCCAUCUAAACCUCCAAGUUUCGAAUAGAGGCAGCUUGGUUCUGAAGGGUCGUCUCGGUUUUGCUCAUAAAUUGAUUUGUAUUGACAGAGAGAGUGUUGACAUUUCCAGCAAGUUGAGUUAUUAUAUCCUCCAAUCCAUGCUUCUUUUCUUGAGGUGUGAAACCAGGUGGAGGUCCCUGUACAUUUUGGUUAUUACUCCAUGAAAAAUUCGGAUGGUUCUUCCAUCCUGGGUUAUAAGUGUUGGAGUAAGGAUUAUUCCGUUGUCGAUUAAAAUCAGAGACUUGAUUCACUUGUUCAGAUGUUGAUGUGAAUGGACUAGCUCCACACUCGUUGCCAUGAUGAGGUCCUGCACAAAAUUCACAACUUAAAUUAGUAGACUGAAUAGCAUUAACAUUUAAAAUACCAAGUUGUUUAGACAUAGUAGAAAUUUGUGCAGUUAACGCAGAUAUGGCGUCAAUCUCAUGAAUUCCAGCUUUCUUUGGUGUUGAUCUCUCACUAGGCCAUUGAUAGUUAUCUGACGCCAUCUCUUCCAGCAAGUUAUACGCUUUAGUUUCUGUUCUUCCCAUCAAAGCUCCUCCGGCUGCAGCAUCAAUUGUUGUUUUGCUUGUAUUGUUCAAACCAUUGUAGAACGCUUGAACUUGCAUCCAAGUAGGUAGGGCAUGAUGUGGGCACUUCCUUAGCAUAUCCUUGUAUCUGUCCCAUGCUUCAUAAAAAGGUUCCAUGUCAUUCUGAGCAAAUGACAUGAUGUCAUUCCUGAGUUUCGCAGUCUUUGCAAGAGGAAAGAAUUUAGCUAAAAAUUUAUUGGCCAAGUCGUCCUAUGUAGUAAUCGAAUUAGGUGGUUGAGAAUUCAACCACGACUUUGCCUUUUCCUUUAAUGAGAAAGGAAAAAGCCUUAAGCGAACAACAUCAUUGGUAGCUCCAUUGCACUUAAAUAUGUCACAUAUCUCCAAGAAAUUAGAGAUAUGGCUAUUAGGGUCUUCUUGAGGUAAACCACAAAAGAUGGAGGAUUGCUGAAUCAUUGAAAUUAUGGCUGGUUUGAUUUCAAAAUUAUUGGCAUCAAUGGUUGGACGACGAAUGCUCGAUGGUGAUGCCACCACAGAUGAGACAUCAUAGUCCCUUACUGGUUUUGCUUCCUCAGCCAUAGGUGAUGGCUUUUCCAAUAUUGCGUCCUUGCCCCUUUUGAGUUUGUUAAGCUUGUGAAGCGUUCGCUCGAUCUCUAGAUCUAAUGGUACAAGCACAAGACUCUGCGAACGUCUCCCAAAACUCAUGCACUAGGUGAAGUACCUAAAAAAACAAAAAACAAAAUUCAAAUUAAAAAAAUUCAAAUUAAAAUCCAAAUCAAUCUAUAUCGAUAUUAAUAAAAUUUAAAACACUCCCCGACGGGGGUGCCAAAAACUUGUUGUGAUAUUUAUUGCAAGCGCACAAUUCGCACAAGUAAUAUAGUGAUGACUGAAGUGUCGUUCCCACGAAGAGUGAUUUAAUUUACCAAGUACCGAUUGUGAUUAACCCAAGACUUUAUUUGAACAAUUGAUGAUGAGAUUUGAUUGAUUAAUUAACUAAAACAAUGAAUAAAAACAAGCGUAGAAAAAUAAAGUAGUGAGAUUCAAGUUAUGAGAGCACUAGAGCUUCCGAUUUCACCAUAGCCAAUUCUACCCAAUUCCCUUAGCAUGUUAAUCCUAAUUAUUCUCUAUGUUGACAGUUGAUUUUCCCUACUUUAUUCGAUACUCCAUCCCUGGUUAUAUCAAAAGUAUUCUCAUUACCAACCCACUCUAUCCAUAGUAAUGGAAUUAAGAUAAUAAGAACCCAUUAAAUUCCUUGGAAAACCUACAAAACAACCACAUAAGUCAUGACAAACAUCCCUGUCUAAUCAUGUAACUCAUGGCAUCUAUUACAAGAAGCAACCCCAAAUUGGAUAUUCCUAUCGUCAAUUUAGCAUCAAAACAAUUAAAUGUUGGCCAAACAUUCAAAGCAUUAAGCAUGGUAAUAAAUACUCAAGAUGGAAAAAAUACUUGGAAUUAACAUCGACUAAAGUAAUUGAGUAUUCAUGGCUAGGCUACAUCGUAGCCCUAGCAAGAAGAAAUUAGUUCAUGACAACUUUAAUAAAAACCAUGAUAAAUAGUAUCAUAGGAAAGAAGUAACCAAUUGAAGAUUUGAUCUCUGCACGACAGCAACUCUAGCUCCAGGUUGUCUUCUUUGUCUCUCUAAAACUCUCUCAACAAUAGAUGAUGGGUAGAUGAUGGAGGAUGGAUGAUGGGUAAUGGAUCCUUUCAACAAUGACCUAAACUCCCUAUUUAUAAAACUCCUAGAAAUCCUACCUAAGGAAUAAUUACAAUUGUUAUAAAAAUAGGAUUCCUUCUAAAAUAAGGUCUUCUUUAUUUCUUCUUGUUUGACUUGAUAAGACUUGCACCAUCUUGAACUAGGAAAUUUGACAACAUUCCUUGCAACAAAAGGAAUGACUUGGCUUCUUUUUAAUUGAUCUUCAUCUCCUUGCCUUUUUUAGCACAUUUUCUCCUAUUUCACAAUUCCUUCACAAAUCUCACAAAACCAAUUAAAAACAACCAAUUUAAUCUAAAAAAUUAAUAAAUAAAUAAACAAAGGAGGCAUAAAAUAUAUAUAUAUAAAAUAUAGACUUAUCACUAUAUAUAUAUUCUUUACAAAAAUUUAAAGCUCCUUAAAGCCCAUAGAAACCGGUAAAGUCACAGUUUUUUUGACUUUUGAAUAUGGGCAAUACACGAGAAGAUGGACAGUAUUUUGAUAACUCUGUUUAGACUAAAAGCUAAGGACUGUCUAUUAACAAAUAAUUCCAACAUGCAACCUUUUUAAUUAGUCUACUUCCUGAUUGCAGAUGGGGAAGAACUCCACUUAAUGAAGCCCGCAUAGGUGGAAAUAAGAAACUAAUCAAACUGUUUGAAGUUGCUAGAACUUUGUAGUUGUCAGAGUUAUCUAAUCAAUAUCAUCAAGAAAUUAGCUAGCUAAGCAUUUCUCUGAUCAAAAUGAUAAAUUGUCGAUCGGCAAUACAUUUAUCCUUUGAUUAAAUGAUAAAUGUUUAUAAGACUUGGAACAAAAGUUCUGAGAUGUUAUAUGUGUGAAUUUUGUUAGAAUCUUUAAUUCUCUUUUCGAUUUUCUAAUAUGCGUACCUUGGAAAAUAUGAAUUGAACUAUUAUUAUUGUUGAUCUGACUUGGCAAUUCUCAGCGUCAAUUAUUCUUACUAGGCUUGUAAUAAUCAAGGAUCGAGUAAUUAAUUAAUUAAAGCUCUUGAAUCAUGGAAGUAAUGCAUGAAUGCAUCAAGUAAUCCGGAUCAGAAUAGUAAAACCAAAGAAGCACAACUUUUAUUCCCGCAGAUAGUCUUAGCCUAGGUUACAUAAAUUAAUGCAUGAAUGCAUGAGCAGCAGCUGCAUGCAAUAUUAUUGAACCCAAAUCACAACAAAAGGAAAACUUAAGACAAUGCCACUUUCGCAGGGAACGCGAUUGCAUUUAGCGUAUGCAACAAGCCUUUUAAACCUAUAGGUGACCCUGAUAGGACGAGUGAAGUCUCGUGAGGGUUUCCAGUGACGCUACCCACAAACAUCGUAUUAACUUAACAGGAUGAUCAUCCUGGAAGUUUUUCGACAAUGAAGAAAUGUUCAUGGGUGGGGCCUCCAGGUUCUGCAAUGAGGGCAUUUUCGAACUCGUUUCCAGAUUUUGGCUUUAAAAGGUUUCCCAUUUUCUCAUGGUGGAACUUGUAUAUGCCUUCGGUGUACGGUCCUGGUGGUUUCACAACCUCAGGCUUGAAGAGUGUACAUGACCACAGCGUUUUAUUUGGCUGUUUCUCGUCAGCCCCGGCCACAAUCCACGAACUGUCUUGGCUUGCCGUUAUCCAGUAUUUGUCGUUGUAGGUGGAUUUUAUAUGCACCAGACUGGGGAGGUUUACGUCCUUCUCCACUUUGAACCUUGCGUAUUUGCUCUGAACAUCCUCUCCGGAGCAUUGGAGAAUAUCUUGCAUCUUUUCGGUGGCUUGGUCUUUGUAGACCAAGUAUUUACCGCUCGUGAAUGAUUUAAGAGCAAUGAACUUUGGUAAUUCUGCCAUUUCUGAUGAUCUCUCGCUCGCGCUUCAAUUUUUUUUUAUGUAAACUCACUUCUCUCUCUCUCUCUCGUUGCUUAUUGCUUUUCCUAACUCCAACCUGCUGUGCUAUUUAUAAUCAAGCAAACCCAAACCCUGCAUGCAGCUCUGGCUUCUUUUUCUUGCUGUACUGGCCCGCGAUAAGAAAAUUGAAGCCACAAAAAAAAAAAGUCGAGCCAGGUGGCAGUUUUGAAAGGUCAAGUAAUAUUGUUCUUGAUAUAAAACAAACUAAAGCGUGCUCCACGUCUUCAAAUAAAACAAAGUUAAGGCUAGUAAUUAUCGACAUCGAUAUUUUGCGAUAUUAUCGUCGAUAUUGUCAAUAUUUAUACGAUAUGUACAUGGAUAUGUUUCGAAAUAUCCGUGAUUCAAAAAAACCGAAAUAUCCUCGAUAUUUCCUCGAUAUUAUCGAUAUUUCAGACUAUGAUGUGAACUUGAUUAUGUAAUUUCUACUACAUGCACUUAUGGGACAUAACCAUUUAUCAAUUAUAAUAAUGUCACAUAAAAAUUGAAGCCACAAAAAAAAAAAAGUCAAGCCAGGUGGCAGUUUUGAAAGGUCAAGUAAUAAUGUUCUUGAUAUAAAACAAACUAAAGCGUGCUUCACGUCUUCAAAUAAAACAAAGUUAAGCCUAGUAAUCUAUUCUCUGUUGUAAUGUGAACUUGAUUAUGUAAUUUCUACUACAUGCACUUAUGGACAUAACCAUUUAUCAAUUAUAAUAAUGUCAUCGACUAGGACUGAACAGCGACGGCUGAAGGCCCAGCUCAUUCUUAAUCUUAGGCAACACAUGUGCUGGGUUUCAUUUCAUAAAUUCAUAACCAAACCAAGCUAGGUCAUAGAAGGAAGCAAAUUAAGCAAUUGAAAUCCACAUCGGCUGAAAAAAUCUCUCUUGAAAAACCAUAUAAUUGGAGGGUCUGCAAAACUAGACUGUGUGUACGUAGCCAACUUUAUUAAAAUGCCAAUUCAAGUCCUAUGAACACACAUUUCCUUGAAAGUUGCUGGCCAAAUUUUCUUUGUUUUGGUUUUCAAUGAGUUCGAUUUCCUUGAGCAUCACUGAAAAGAUAUUAUAUAUGUGAAAUCUUUUUGUCAGUCUUUGAAUUUACCCAAUGUGGGUGAUCAAUUUUUAUGAUUGCAUUCUAGACUUCUCCUUAGUACAAAACAAAACUACGUGAUUGAUUGAAACGUCAUUAAUUAAUUUAGACAUAUAGGCAUUUGCAUUAAUUCAUUCUAGAUAGUAGAUACACAUCUCCAUAACGCAGAAAGAAUUAGCAUGUCCUUAAUGUGAACUUCGUUAAUAAAUUGAAGAGGAGUUGGAGAACAGUUAGAUGAAUGAAUUAAAGAGGAGUUGGAGAGACGCGGAUGCAAGGGCACACUAAGAAAACUACAGGGUUUAUUUAUAGUUUUAGUGCUAAUAAUGGGUAUAUGACUAAAUAUCUCUAUAAAAAAAAUUAGUGAAUUUAAUCAGAAUGUAAUGACUUAUAGAAUUUUACCUUGGGGCACUUUAAGUCCGUUCCUCCUUAAUAAAGCAUCACUUAAUAGAUUUGAAUUAUGAGCUGAACCCUCCCACCCGCUAAAAACGUAAAUGAAUUCUAAAUCAAAGUUACAAGCUACUGAAACCAUUUAUCAAUUAUAAUUAUGUCAUUAAUUAGGAUUGAACAAUAUGAUUGUAAUGCCAUUUCUAAAGCGUGCUUCACGUCUUCAAAUAAAACAAAGUUAGGCCUAGUAUUUUCUUCUUUAUUGUUUCGGUGCUUAAUGUGAACUUCAUUAUGUAACUUCUAUUACUUGUACUUAAGGGCCAUAGCCAUUUAUCAAAUUAUAAUGAUGUCAUUAAUUAGGAUUGAACAACAAGGUCGUUGAGAUGUUUACAUACUUUAAUUACAGACAUAUGAUAAGUUUAGGAGAGUGAUAUGUAGUUUCAAUUAUUCCUUUCACACAUACCCUAAACUUUAAACCCUAAACCCCUUUCUCUUAAGCAAAAUCUAUCGGUUUUGGGUAAGUUUGAGACACUUGUGGACGAUUGUUUUUAAUUUGGACCCUAUGAAAAUACCUGUAGGAUGUCUAUAUAAAUACCUAGAGAAGGUUAAAUAGGCUAAUUCGAUUUUUGCAAUGAAUAAUAAUCAACUUUUGAAGUAGGAUUGAUAUGAGUUAUCAAUCCUGAAAUGUGCAGAGCUUAAAAUAAAAGAACACACAGAUAUUUAUUUUACGUGGUAAAACCCCACAUCUGGGGAAAAUCCACGGGACUCCUUAGUCCAGAACGAAUCCACUAUAGAAUUGAGAUUACAAGAAGUUCUCACACACACUUAUCCUAGACUCAAUCUAGAUAAUGUUUACCGACUUAUUCAUAACUCAACUUUUGUCAUGGGAUGAUCUUCGACACUCCUUAUGUUGAGCGCAAUAUUGGUCACGAUUGCUUCAAGCUCACCGGAGGAUAAACGCCACAAACGUCUUGAUGCCCUUGACCGUAUGAGUCACUGACAUGCAUAUGUAUGCAAUAUAAAUGAUGAAUGAGUUCGAUAAAUCACCAAGCAACCAGGAGCCCUUGAUGACUUACCGAGAAAAAUAAGUACAGUAGCUUUUCCAAAAAACAGAUUCAAUAUGCUCUCAAAAUCAAUGCGUUGAAAAGCUACACUAUGAAAAGAAGACACCUUGGUUUUAUUCAAAACAGGUUCUCUCACUCAAGAGAAACCUACGUGACCACCAAUCCAAUUCACGAAAGACUUUCAACCUUAUUCAACUACCACACAACAAAACCUGAUGCAAUAUGGACACUAGUUAAACAUGUCAAACAGGAGACCACUCAUACUGUUGAAGCAUGAAUGUUUCUUUUGAUUCAAUUUACAUGCUAUGUGAUGAUGCCAGCUAAUGCACGAUGUGAGGAAACCUCAUGACUUUCUACUACAGCCAAUCCUUUAAAACAAUAUCUACCUAACAAAUUAAUUAGACCGAUCAAGUAGGAAAUAAUAUCAAGAGAUAAAAUAUAAUCCUAUUGAAAAUAGGAUUAACAUAAAAAUACUUGAGUGAAAAUAAUUCCAACUAGGAGUCCUAUAAUGAAUGCAUAAUUAUGUUAUGAUUUACCUGUUGUCAAGUUUCUCAUAUGGUCAGGUCAUGCCUCGGAAGUAUAGGGUUGAGAGAGUUGUGCCAAAGCGUCCAGUAACAUUUCCUCACAAACUAAUUUUCAACUUAUGCUAAAGUCUAGGAAAUGCCAAUACGAUUUUCGUACUAACACCCUACAAACAAAUAAAUUAAAGAAAAAAAAAGUAAAAGAAGAAAAGAAUAUAAAUUCAUAUAUCUCAAUUUCUUGUGUGAAGCUUUUAAAUUCAUUUCAAAAUUAAUAUUAAAAUUUAUUUGUUUUGGUUUUCAAUAAGAUUAAGUUGGAUUUCCUAGAGCAUCAUCACUGAUCUGAUGGCAUCAGAUAAGUCUUUGAAUUACCUAAUGUGAUUGAUUGAUUGGAAUGUAUCCUUAAUACUAAAAAAAAACCAUGUGAUUGAUCGACACGUCAUUGAGCACUUCCACUCUAUCGGCAAGGGCAAGGCAAGAGCAAGAGUUUAGGAUAAGAUUUUUGGUUGCCACUUGUCCAUAUUUAUUAUAACAUUCACAUCUCAAAUUUCAUAUAAAAUUUUCGAAUAAGAUUUUCGAUUGCCACGUAUCCAUAUUUAUUAUAAAAUUCACAUUUCACUCAUCAUACAAUUGAAAUACUUGUUCACUCAUCAUACAAUUGAAAUACUCCUGGUCUUCAUAGUUCGACACAAUCGAGUACAAGGAUGACUCAAUCAUUGGAGGAGGAGAUUCCACCGGAUCACGACGUGGGGGAGUAUUUUCCUUCGAAGGAAGUAAUUGUGCCAUUAUUUUCGACACGGAAAGCACCACUAGAACCGACUACUGACAUUGUUCACUUAAGGAGCCAUGUGUAAUGGUUUUCCUCUUUUUUGUUUUGUCUUGAAUAAUGUAUUAAAAUACAAGAAAAUAUAUUUUUAAAAAUGAUAUUAAAUUGAAUAAAACGAUAAAUUUAUUUUUUUUACAUCGUCACCAAGAUUUUGACCGCUUUGAACGUUUGUCCACGACCAUCCGGUUUCGAUGGAAGAGGCCAUUUGUAUUUUUACACAAAUAAAAUUUUGUAGUAGAAAAUUUGGUGUGGAAAGUGAAAAAUAUUGGAAGGAGAUGAAUUUAUAUGAAGAUUUAGUGUGGAAAGUGAAUAAUAUUGGUAGGUAUUUAUGGAAAAAAAUUCUAGAAUUUUUUGAUAUUUUUUUUACAGCUUUUUUUAGCCAUAAAAUGGGCAACCGUUGAAUUGGAAGACAUUUUUGGAUCGGAGCCUUCAGGAGAAGCUAUGUGCUUGUAGCUGUUGGUUUCUGGCAGUGCUAAUUUUUUUAAAUUAUUGCGCUGACGUUAGCUGCAUGAAAGCAAUACAACGGGCCAGAUCUCCCCAUAGGUCCCACUCCUUACCCGAGCUGGGUCUUGCACGCUGGAACUGCCUUUCAAACCUAGAGCACCCUCCUACCUGGGCUAGCCCCUUGCCCUGGACUUGCUCUAAGACAGAAGAAUUAGCAUGUCCUUAUUAUGUAAACUUCAUUAAUAAAUUUCUACUUUGUACUUGUGGAGGCCCAUAGGAAUUUAUGAAUUAGGAUUGAGAAACAAAGGUUCAAGGGAUUGUUCCAGCUAAUCUUUACCAUAAUAAUAAUAAUAAUAAUUGUUCAGGCCGGCAGCUAAUAAUUAAGUUGGCAUUUUUUUAAGUUUUUUUUUGUCCGGCCAAUAAUAUUAUUUUGGGCCCAAAAUGAAGUAAAGGACUAAAUGUAAAUACAGAAUUGGAAUGUGCUUUUGGGCCUUUUAAGUGGCAUAGGUGGAUCAUAAUAUUGAAGUAGCCCAAACUGUUGAUUUUGGGCGAGUGAACCGGUUCCGAAACCAUGGCCGAUCCUCUCAGUCUUCUUUGCUUUAGCAACUUAUGCUUUGCUUGCUUGGUGAUUAAGCCUAACUAAGGCAAAGCGGCAGCCAGAGCAGCAUCAUUCAGAUUCAGAAGAAGUAGCAAGUAAUUAAGUAAGCUUCAGCCUCACAAACAAAUAUCAAAGCGAAGCAAUCGAAUUUGACAAAGAGAGAGAGAGAAACAGUGAGAGAUCGCGAAAUGGCGUUGCAGUGGAUGAUACUGACGUACGUGGUGGCAGCAGAGGCAGCCUUGGCCUUCCUCUUAACCCUUCCCGCGCCCAAGCUCUUGAAGAAUCAAUUCGUGUCGUUGGUCUCUCUCAUCCUCCAACCUGCCCUCUUUAUCGUUCCAUUCGCCGGCUUUCAGCUCCUUGGUUUGUUUCUUCUUCUUAUUUGAUUUUAUUUUAUUUUAUUCCUAGGGCAUACCAUACCAUAGCAACAAUCUAGCAUCGGAUUUUCCAUUUGAUCUUUUUUACCUGUUUGGGUAAUGGAUUACCAAUUGAUCUUUGACUUGCCUCUUUCUUACUUUCUCUUUUCUUUUAAAUUCUGUGUAGAUAUAUAUUGGAAGAAUGAGCACCGCCUGUCCUGCACCUCUGAGAUCUGCACCGCUGCUGAGCGUGACCGCUAUGAGAAAUCCGUCAGUUUCUAACUACUACUCUCUCUCUCUCUCUCUCGUUUUAAUUUCUUAUGUGAUUCUAAUCUUUAAUCAAGUUGAUGAUGCCUGCAACUCUUCAGCAUGCUAAAAUGAAUUUAUCAAAAAUGAAAUCAUAUAACAAAAGGAAAAUUACAUUUUGAGCAACAACUGAUGUCUCCAAUUUCCAUUCACUAUACUGUUUAACAAAUUUAUUAUAGAAUAACAGCAUUACAAAUUCAUAUUUAUUUUUCUCAAAAUCAUAAUGCCCAAUGACACGCAUACCUGUUUCUUAAUUUUGUCGUCUAAAAUUCUUGCAUAUUCGGCAUUGGAUUGUCUCGUUUCUUCGACUUUUCUUUAGGAUGGUAUCUUGAAUCUUGAAGUUUCUCAUAAUUAUUUCUGUCUUUAUGUAUUGAAAAUUUUCUGCUCUUUAUUAUCUUUAAGAUUUUCUUUGUUUUUGGGUAUUUGCGGAUGAGGGUGAAACAAGGAUUUGUGCUUGUGGAAAUAUUCUGGUAGGAUAUCAAUUGAGUGUAUUUGGAAUAUACUCUCUACUUUUGCGCUGUACAUUUCAUGAAAAACAUGAUAUGUGGUUCAGUUCUUAUAUGUUGCAAGUUGCAGCAUAUGUAGCUGUGGGAUGUCUAAUGAUUGCACAAUGAGCCCUCUGCCAAUCAAGAGAAAUGGAAGAUUCAAGUUCUAUCUACAUAUAUAUACCUUUAAAUUCUAUUAUUCUUGACACCUUUGUUGCGGAAAAUAUGUCAUGCAGAUCUACAAGGCUCAAAGGAAUGUAAUUCUUUGCGCUUCAGCAUGUCUGCUUUACUGGUAUGUUGGCUAGAGAUCAUCAAAUGACCUCAUCUUUUUGUUUUAUUUCUUUACAAGUUUAAGCAAAUAAAAAACUUGAAGGUCUUUACUAUAUUUCUGGUCAUUUGAUAGUAAUCUACAAAUGUUGGGCGCAGGUGUCUUGUUCGCAUAUGCAAAUAUUACAAGGACAUUCAGAAUUUGGAAGAAGUUGAGAAGAGGUGCAAGGAGGAGUAGCUUUUCCCAGAUAGGCUUUUGUUUGGGAGUAGAAACAACCGAGUUCAUAAAUUUUUUUUUCAUCAUAAAUGGGAAACCGAUGUGACUUCUAGUAAUAUUGUAGUGUCUUCACUUUGUGUGGUUAAUUUGUUAGUCAUCAUCUAGUAUGUGUUUCUUUCACCUUUUUCUCGUAGCAAGCUCAAAUAUACUUUUUGUUGUCAACUAUAUAUGAAAAGUAAGACAAUUAUUAUUACUGCUUAGAGAUUUGGCCAUGGCCGGUCUAUUUAUCCUUGAUUGAAUAUAUGAAUUCCAAUCUCCCUUGAUUUGUUGAGAAUCAAGGAUGGUUGCGUGCCAUGAAUUCCAAGCGUGAGUUGAGAUACUUAACCCAGCCUAGAAUGUGCGAGCCUUUACAUGGUCUUCAUUUCAUUGGCGUAUGUUUUGCUUCAAGUUUUGUUUAUACUUGAUCUUAGAUUCAUAGUCGUACAUACCAAAGAAUUCAAUAGUUGAAAUGAGGUCUUCCAUUGCGAUAGUCUUGAGUGACCGAGUCUAUAUCCAAAUUGGGAAUUUAGUCAUCUGUUUACGUACGUAUGGCUCAGCUUUUCAAAUUCUCCAGUAUUGGGAAUGAUUUGGUAUGAAUUGCAGCGUAAACUUGGUUUCACAUACGCCUGCAUUGAUCACCCAGCCCGUCUCCAUCUGAACACCCCGAUGGAGGGGGGUUUAGUAUUUGCAGUAAGAUUUGAUCCACAUUGACCCAUCAUUCACACGCUUUCAGUUCACGACAAUUGCCCUUCAAAUUUCUAAAGAAUAAUAAUGCAUUAAUUCAGGCAUGAUAAUCAACGCACACAUCUGAUUCUCGAACAAAAGCAUCAUCAAGUCAAGGAUAAGGCAAAUUUCUCAAGAGGGUAUUUGUAUGGGCUUAAGAAUAAAUUAAAUAAUGAAUCGAGUCAAGAACUAAGCACACAUUUUCUUUCUUUCUCGAAUUAUAGGGUUUUCUUUAACAUUUUUGGGAAGACUUAAGGGAUUAAAUAAAUAAAUAAAAUAGUCUUAAUAAUCGGAUUUUGCCAAGUGAGAUCAUGCCUCCAAACAAUGGAACUAACCCAAGUUUUGGGCUUGUAUUAUAUAAGCAGAAUAAGACUGCUCUCCUACUGUUUUCCCACUUCCCACAUGGAGGAGGGGCUAACUAGUUGAAAAGAUUGAAAACGAAAACACAUUCUAAAUGUGCAAUACUUUUGACAGCUUGUCGUUUGUUUUUGGGUUUUGGUAGGUAGCAUACUAGCAUCCAUGAAGUAGCCAUGUCCUUAUUAGACGAAUAAGUUUGGGACGUUUUGGUUAGUUUUUGAAGAGGUGCAUAAAAUGAGCUUGAGUCGGUACCAACAAGUUGACAAUCCCUCCUGAGUCCUAACCAAAAGGAUGUAUGUUGAAUGUUGAUUAUUAUUGCAUGAUGCAUGUGGAAUUUUAUUUUCUAAAGCAUGUUUGGAAUGGAACACACAUCAAUCCCAUCCAUCACUGCUUGAUGACUUAGAUUGAUAUAAGCUAUAAAAAUGUCAAGGGCCAAGCCAACUUGUUUGACAUCUCACGCGAACAAGCGUUCAUAUCAAAAUACCAUUUAAGCUUUAUCUAUAUACACAUUGAAAUCUCUUUAUUCAAACAGACAGACUGAAACAUGUGACAUCAUGUGAAAAGAAUGGAAUGGAAUGGAACCUCUGUUUUCACUUCCCUCUAUUCAUCUUGCAGUAUUGUAUUGUAUUACAAGUUACAACUUCAACUUUGGAGAACAAAUUAACUGAUGAAAUGAAAAUUUAAGAAUUAUCAGAAAGAAAAGAAUUCAUAAAUGUUUUCUCUGGACGAAGAUCAAAAUGACCUUCUAAUGUUCUUGAAAUCUACAGACUCAAUGCAUUCCAACCCAGCUCUGUAAGGAUUCAGGAGUUUCAAAAGCUCAGUUGUCUUCUCCUUUGUGUUGUCAUCACCGCAACGAACCUGUAAAACUAACAGGAGCUUCUGAAAUGUACCAACUUGAAGGGCCUCAACAAGAACUCUUUCUUCUUGACUGCUUGCACACUUGCACAGCUUCCAAAUAGCAGAAAUUGAAUACUCAGUCGCCAUUUCUGAUACCCUCAAAAUCUUCUUGACCAAGACAGGUAUAGUGAGAGCAUUAGCAUAGGCCUUUUCCCUCCCAUCUUGGAAAUCGCAAAGACUAUCCAAAACACCCAAAGCCCUCUCACAUAUGCCUCUUUCAGAGUCGACAAGAAUUUCCAACAAUAUGGAAACUAAACCCAUCUCCAGAAAUGCUGAUUUGAUCUUCUCACUAGAUUUAGAAGAAGAAGAAGAUGAUGAUGAUGAAACCAAGUAGAAGACCACCAUCAGUGAAGCCUUGGUAAUCGUCGGAGAAAUUUUCUCUCUGAUGAAGUCGAAAAGUACCUCAUUCACUCCACCAAUCUCCGCCAACGCAUCAACAUGUUUAUUCCGGUCAUGGCAAGCAAGAAGCUCUUUCAAUGCUAAAAUAGCAUUUUGCUUUACUGAAAGAUCAUCACUCAUCUUGAGAAACCAAACCAUGCCGUGCAACGAAGCCUGAGACCCCAAGUAUUUGUGGGCUUCCUCAUCGAAAGCUGGAAGCAUCCAACUCAGCGCAGACAAUAUCUCUUCACAAACGGUGGCAUUUCUCUUUAUGCAAUCACUUGCAAAAGAAUCAAAGGCACCAGCUAGAACAGAGGCCGUCCCAUUCUCCGAGAUGCACCGCUUGUUGCGUUCGCUCUCAGCUCCCCACUUCUUGAUUUUGUGCACACAUUCUAAGCAGCCAUGUUGAUCCAAACGUCUAGCAGAGGCUCCGAUGCUGAAAAGAAUCUCAGAGACCUCCAUUGGCAAGACAGGAAUUCUGGGUGUUGGGACACGUUCGAUGCCGUAGUGCUUGUUUUGAGUGCACCACUCUUGAAUCAUUCUUCUGAGACUAUGGUUGGGAAUCUGAUCAAAGUUUCUCAGCACCUGAUUUGUUACCGGGCAAGUGAAAUUCCCGGCUUCGAGCCACGUGUCAAUACUCUGUCUAUCGUAGGUUAUUCCGGAUGACAAUGUAACCGGAUCCUUCAUCAGGUCCAGCGAUAUUGGGCACAGGAAGUGGUUUGGGAUGAGGGCUUCCAUGUCUAGGUCCCGGGGCUGCUUUUUCUUGGUGCCGUGGCCUGUUCUCCUUCUUGUCCAGCCUAAAACCAUUGCUUGCUGAUUAGCUAGCACAGAUUAAGUUUUGAUCAGAAAAGCAGUGAGAGAAGUUGAUUCUUCUGUUUUUGUUGGUGGUGUUUUUUGUUUGUGAAAAAAUAGGAGGGGAGGUGAUGGGGUUUAUAUACUAAUAAUACUAUAUGUUGUUCCGGCCACAACUUUUCAGGUUUUCAUACACGCGGUGUUCAAAGAUGAGACCAUUUUGCAUAUGGAGAGAAAUGGGAAAGAAUUGAAUAAGUAAACAAAUUCAAGCAGAGGGUUUUAGGAAUAGUACAAUUUGAAUGUUGACCGUUGAAGCUUUGAAAGUUUUAAAAUUAACCGUCAAAAGCGGGGAAGUGGUAAAAGUAAGCUCUUCCUUCAUGGGCCUCAAAUGUACCAAAUAAACGAAUUAUGUUUUUAAAUUAUGAUGAGCUACUUUAAGUAUGGGGUUAUGUAUGAGGAUGAGGUUUUGACGCGUUGACCGAGAUUCUUUUCUUCUUCUUCUUCCGUUUUUUUUUUCUUAAUCUGAAAUUCUGAAUCAGAUAUGACGAACAAGACCGAUAUCUCAGCUGUUACAUUUUUUUCAUUUUUUCUUGUAAGUCUUUUUUUAAAAAUUUAUUUAUUUGAAAACGGAAAAUUACAAGCAAAGCAAAAACCACCAGAACACGCAGGCCCAAACAAAUCGAAGUAAAAAGAAGAGAACAUCAAUUUUUUCUUGUAAGUCUUCAUUGGUGUUUUUUUUAAUUUAUUUUUUUUCUUCGUAGUAUGUAGUAGGAGAAAAGGAAAAACAAAAAAGUCAGUCACCUCAACUUUGUAAGAACGAGUCCUAGGCUCCUCCUUAUCAGACUCUCUCAGCUGCAAAAGGUUUGACUUUGAAGGAGUCAUUGCCCAAAAUACCAUCCACCACAUGCAAAUUGCAAUACAAACUCCAAUGACAUUCAUUUGGCAAGCAAGUUUAAGUACACGCCCCAUUAAAACCCAGGAGGAUAAUUUGAAUAAAUCAAACAUUCUAACCUAAUAACCUUACAGGAGUUGCUUUUUAUUCAUGUUUGAAUGCUGUACAGACAAAAACUCCUGUCGAAAUGAGCUUAUUUUACAAAUCAAUUUUUAAUCAUGUACCUAAUCAGAAAAGAUUGUCAACCAAGCUCGAAAACAAAUCCAGCCUAAGUCGAAAACAAAUCCAUCCUAAGAAUAAAAGAAAGGAAAAGAAAGAAAGAAAAGAAAGAAUUGCAGCCUAACUGACUUCACUACCCAUCCUUCCAUCAGUUAAUCAAAUGGAAGCACAAGGCCUUCAAUCUUUCACUUCACAGUGCUGACUUGCCAGAGCAAGGUAGAAUAUUGGGUUUAUUCUUGCCUGACAUAAGGAGAAGAACUCAUCUCCGUGCUGUAAAAUGAGUCAUCCCCAUUCAUAGCAAAGAAAUUAUCAUUCUUUUCAUCAUCCCACUUAAGGAUCUCCCUUAUGUACUUGAAUGCCUCAUCAACUGAGGUACCCGCUCGAGCUCGGGUCUGCGCCACAAACAACUUCUCACCAGUUAUGGAUGAAUACAGCUCUUUGAAUUUCACCGCCACAUAAUAAUAUGCUUGCUGUGCCAGAGACUGAAUAUUACCGUGGGGCUUAACGGGGCUGAAGUCCUUCAACCACUCACAGACAGACAAAGGAACCUGGUUUAUCUUGGCUUCGAAGGCAUCAUACUUGUUCAGCAAGAGCACAAACGGAGUGUUCCUGAAACACGGAUGCCUCACCAAACUCUCAAACAAAUCUCUGCUUGCCAGCAUUUUAUUACAAAGAAGACCAUUACCCUGGGCCCACAUUUGAUCAUAGUCACUCAAUGCAACACAAAAUAUCACCGCCCUCACAUCUUCAAACAUUUCCAGCCAUUUGCAACCAUCAUUCAAUCCUUUGGAAUUAAUGCGAAUGAGUUGAUACCUGAGACAAGACUCAACCUAGUGAGCAACAGAUUUAUGGUUUUCAUCGGAAGCAACAAAAAAGAAGAAGCAAGAGCACAAGAUAGAAAGCAUUCGAUUGAAGGUGAAAGGAUGAAGAUUUUACUUGGUCAAGGGAGGGGGGCAUUCAUAGUUUUCAUUGUAUAGCUCAGACAUAGCGCUUCUAUCAUCAAAAGAAAAUUCCAUAAAGGCAAGCCCAUUGCUUUGAGUAACUCCCUCAGCAUAUAAAAUGUCAUUCUCGGAAGGCUCAUACUCGUUACUUGAUAUUUCUAUAGCCUGUUGAAAAUGAAACACCAAACAUCCGUGAGGAUAACAACUGAAGUUUGGAAAUUUAGUUGUACUAACGGAAAAAAAAAAAUGCAAUCCAAGCUGCUUUGAAAUUUCUCCAUUUAUUUACCAACCAAUGGAACCACAUUUAUGCCAACUUACCUAAUAUUAAUUUAAGUAAAUGUGGAAGACCAUUAACUAAAUUUGAAAAUACCAUUAGAGGAAUAAUACCAAUUCAACAAAUCUGAUCUUUCAAACAGAAAUAUGAAAUUUGAUAAUCCAGUCUAGUCUUACUAAAUUAAUAUUUAUUUAAUACCCUGCAUUCUGAAUAGAGGAUUCCUUUCAGAACAAAACAAGAAAGACCAUAAAACUAAAGCUGUCUGUCAGUGUUGCACGAAGUAUUCCUGGCAAUUUUGAUCAGCAAUCCUACUGAUGGAUGGAUGAUCAAACCAUAACCUUACCCAGACUUGGGUUAGACUUGUAAAGAACUAAAUAAAAAUAAUGCAGUGGAGGUAAGUUGAUGAGUACUAACACAAGAAAUGAGAGAUAAUAAGAAAGUGGGAAGUCAAAGCAAUCAAGAAUUUAGUAAGGAAAUGUAAUCUAAAAUGAUCACAAGAAUGAGUUAAAAGAUCUAAAAUGGAGCAAAAUAAAAGAUUAAUCUGAAUAAAGUUGGAACCAAAAGAUGCAAGGCCAAAACGAGGAAUGACUAACCCGAUCUAAGAAAUAUUUGGCAACUUCAGGAAGGCAAUGUAAUUCCUCCCUCCUCUUGUAUGUUUCCUGGAUAGCAGAAUCUUUCCAUACUUCAUCUACAAUAGGAGCAUACUCACGUGUAGCAGCAGGGAAGAAUGCAUCCAAGUCUCCCGUUGCCAUGAUAUCCAGUAACCAGUCAGAAAAGUGCUUGAACCUUUGGUUGAUUGCAUAGAUGCAUUGCUCACUUUCAUCAACUACUGUUUCACACAAAGUCAUUUCACAGUCAACCACUGCUUAAGGUUCAUUCAUGCCUACAAGCAGAAAACCAAAUAAGCAAAAUGUUCUAUAUCUCUAAUAACAUGUUGAAUUCCUCUUCAAUCAGUAGGAAAUUCAUAUUAAUGACAAUGGGACGUUAUUUAUUUGAUGUUUACAAUUAGGUUAGACAGUCCCGAUCUCUUGGACUACAGGGGUCUACAAGAUUUGUGGUCAUUUACCGUUGGAUGUAAAUUCAACGGUUCACUCACUCUUGCACUCCUUUUAAGAAACUUUUUUGAACCAUUGGAUUAAUAUCCAACGGUGGGUGGCCACAACAUCUUGGACUCCUGUGGUCCAAGAGAUCGGAACUGUUAGGUUAGAUAUAACAUGAAAUUUCAUCAACACUGACCCCAGUUGCUUGUGUCGAGAUUGACAAAAGUGUUGGAACAGACAGAAAAACAGCUACCUACCUACCAAGUCCACUUCGAUACAACCAACUAAAAGACUCUUAGAUAUAUGCUGUUUCAAAGAUGGAGAUAACAAACAGCUACCUGCCUAAGCGUCCAGUUAGUCGAAGGAACAAUUUUCAUCAGAAAAAGGAGAAAAUGAAAGUCAUUUCAUUAUCUGACCCCCAAAAAAAAAGUCAUUUUCAUUAACUUAUUACAUAAAUAGAGACCUGAAGGAGAUUCUUCAGCAGCCGACGAAGUAGCCCUAUUCUCUGUCAAUGCUUCCUCUUCAAAACGUUCUCGGCCCUCAAGUAGUAUACUUAGAUACUUGUACAUAUUGCUCUGAAUCAUGAGCUUGAUGUUCUGCAGCUCUUCAGGAGUGAACUUGUUUCCAUAUAAGAACUUUGCCUGUUCCACAGAAAAAAGAAGAAUAACAUAAGCAUUUUUAAACUGUAAUUCUAUUCAAAAAGCAUGACAUAGUAUGCUCAUACAAAGAAAUAAAGCUUCUGAUUCAAAAAUAAAUUAAUUAAUUAAGCCCUGGGGGUUUUCGCUAACCGACUCCAACGUAUCAUGCAAUUUGAUUAUCCGCAAAAGGAAAGUUAGUAGAUUAAAUAGACUUGAAUCCUCUUGCUUUGUAAUAUCCUUAUUUUGAAUCUGAACUCUUCACACAAAAUCUAAUCGCUCAUACUAUGCUAAAUGCAUAAAUUAACCUUCCUAAGGUUAACGCCAUCUCUUCUAUACUCUCUUUCUUCUUUUUCUUUUCCCUAUCCUCCCAUUCCGGAAUUCUGCAUCUGGUUCUCCCUUUGUUUUUCACAUUAAUUCCUUAACUCUCAUGCAGUAAAAUCAAGCUUGUGGCUCUGGAAAACACAUAUUGAGUUUUCAUCAUUAGUAAAAGCUUCUAUUUUAUCACUUUCAACAGUGGAGGACUGAAAUAACUUAUCUACAAUGAAUCAGUGAUCGAGAUGAUUGAAUUUCCUCUGCUUCUAGUAUUAAUCUAGAUCCACAAAAAUAUGCAGCAUACUCUUAGCUACUUUUGAGGUUUUACCAUACAUUCUAAGUUCCAAGUUGAGGCUUUUCAGUAAAAACAGCCACCGGUUUCAAGAAAUGACUGCAAACCACAUAAUGACAUAAAGGAAGAUAAGGUAGGUCCACUAUCACAAGAAAGGCAACACCUUUUUAAUUGUCAAUUUACGAAUAUGUCACGAAUCACGAAGACAAGGUAAAUGGAACUAUUAACUUCCCUUUUGUAUUAAGUGAAACAACUUAAAUUCUGAAUAUUCGAUUGUUGAACACUAAACCAACAAGCAUUUGCUCUAGGAACAAAACACAUGAUAGGGUAAAUCUAUACAAAAGUCUUGGUUGACUGGAGCAGAAAUUAGAAAACACGUGAAAUAAAAAAAGGACAAAGCCAUGCUGGCACCCUAAAAGAGGAGGGGCUGGAAGAAAAUCAAAAAGACGCAUACCUGCUUGAAGAUGGUGCUAGUUCCAGAUCCCUCCAAGCCAAAUAACAGAAGUUUCUGAACUCUUCCCUGUUCCAAAUAUUCAGGGACUGACCUACUUGAAGGUGUUGUAGGAUCUUCAUUUGUCCCGUGUUGAUUACCAGGUGGUACAGGCAAUGAGAAUAAUGAACAAAUGAAACGAGUGGAUGCCUGCCUACCAAAAACCAAAUUGCAACUGUAUAAAAUUUCGACUCAGAAUCAUCUGCCAAAGUUUCAAACUCAGACCAAUCAACAAAUAUCCAAAAUUCAUGGUAACGAAAGAACCUUUCCCCAUAUAUUCCCUUUAAUGUUAUUUUGACCUUCCUCCUCAUAAGAUCCAUCAUCAUACACCCAGAAAUGAGUAUCUGGAGGGCACUGCACUUUGGCCAGCUGAAAUAUAAAAGGCAAGUAAUAAGGUUCAUCUUAUCGCAAUUAAAUAAAUCACGUAGCAAACAUAAAAUUUCAUGCAGGUCCAUGUUAUUGUUACCUUCAGUUAGAAAACUGCCACUAAUCACACUAUUACCUAAUAAACUUACUUAUGAUGGGAGAUUCUAUAGUAAUUAGUAAGGCAUUCAUGUUCAAUACAAACACUUCUUUAACCUUUUGAUUGACAGGUUCACUUUUUCACAGUAUGGUUUAGGGUUUAGAUUUCCAAAUUGGCGCUGGUUUAUUCGUAUUGAAUAUGAACCCUACUGCAGACCGGACUCAUUCAUUAGGGACUUUUGGGGAUUCAUUGCGAGCAUACCUUCAACACCCUACGCUCAGUCUUGGUGAUCUCUCGGCCAUUCAUGAACACUUUGGUGUUCCCAUUGCUUGCAUCGAACCGGAGCUUACCUCCAACAUUCAGUUUUGAACUAAUGAUCCUGUCGGGCUUCUCUCCCUCCUGAAAUCAAAUAAAAUUAACUGUAGACAUAUAAAAACAUGCAACACGAUGCUGUAAAAUGCUCAUCCAAUAUAUAUAUAUAAAAACUCACCUUGCCCCAAAGGCCAGAAUCUUUAUCGUACCAAUACCUCCCAGGCUUCAACUUCUGCGGAGGCAAUUCACAGCCCAAAAUCUCAGCCAGUUCUUCUUCCCUCAACAGCCUCCCAUUCACAACUAACUGCUCGGGUCGAAGCUGAUUGGCAGGGCACUCCUUCUCGGCCUUCAUUAUCUGCCGAAUCUCCAAAGGGCUGCAAACCCUUGACAAGAUCCUUGAACACUUGCCCAAACUCGACCUCUUGGACUCGUCUAUUGGCUGCCCAAUGCAGCUCACACAUUUACGCCCCUCUGGCAUCGACCCCAUGGCUUUAAGCAAGCAAUUGCUACAGAACUUGGCGUCGCACACCAAACACCACUCUCUCUCCUUCAAUCUGUUCCCUUUUCCGCACCUGCUGCAAAUCCCUCUCUUAUUCGUCCGCCUCCCAGGCGAAGAAGCCAAUGCAAUCGGCGAUCCCAAUGGUUCGGUGGCGCUGGAUUGCGGCGACGAAGACCUAUCAGCCUCGUUAUCGUUUUCGUGGUCGUCUUCGUUCUCCGAAUCUCUUGGCGUAUUGAAAGUCACGACGGCCGCUCUCUUUCCUCCGGUGGUUCCGAUCGGUUUCUGCUGGGGAUUCGAGUCUUGAACUGGUAAUUCAGAGCUAAAACCUUGGUCUGCUCCUUCGAAUUCCGAUCCUUCCCUGCCGUUUUGCAAAUCGAGUUGCGACUUCGGAGCCGAAGAAGAGGUCGUGCUACUGCUGCCCGGCUCUUUUACACCAGCACCGUUCCUGACCCGAUUGAAGCGCGAGAGCUUCUGAGCGACCGGCACAGCUACCGGAAUGGAAGAGAGGUCUGAAACCGAAAGGGAAGUUACAGAAGAAGUUUGAAGGGAGUCGAUUUGAACUGGAUCAACCCUGGGGAGAUCGUCGUAGGGCAAGGGAGGGCCUUGGUAUUCGACUGCGAUUGAGUAGUCGAGGUGCUCUUCGUCGGGCAAUGGUGCGCCAGCAGGCAGCAUCUUUCUCAGGAGGUCCUUCCAGCUUUUCUCGUCCUCUGCUUCCGAAGCCAUAGCGAGGGAGGGCUGUUUGGUUCCCGAGAAAAAGCUCGGGAAAGCGAGAGAGAGAGAGAGAGAAAGAAAAUCAAAUGAAUGAAAGGUGGGUGGGUGGGUGUGUGUGUAAGGAAGAGCUGCGUGGGGGCGAGAGUUGACACGAAGAGGAGCAGAGAGCAGUUGGGGGAAGUUGGCAGAGAGAAAAGAGAGUGUGGAGGGAUUUCGUUUCCGUUAAAGAGUUGAUGUCAACGAUGAUGCUGACAAUUUUUAAGAUUUGAAAUUGAUUUCGUUUCCUAUAAAUAUUAUUCGAAGAGGAAGAAGAAAGGAAAUGGAGGAGGAGGAGAAAGUUUGAUCUUUCCUUUGACAGUUGACACACUACUUACUUGUAACUUGUUACAAGACGACUGUGUCGUCUUCACACACAAGCACAACAUAUAAAAAAAAAAAAAAAAUUGCUGCUGCUCUCUCUCUCUCGCAUUUUUUUUAAUGCCUUGUGUAUUCAUCUUGUUCAAGACGUGAUUUAAUUUCGUAACGUGCUUUUUGUGUUUUAAUUUCGUAAUCUGAUUUUGUAAAGAGAAAGACACACACAUAACUACUGUACCAUCAGUCUCAUUGAAAUUGAAAUUUUGCUACAAUUUUUAUUAAUACAAUUCCUUUAAUUCAAAAGAUAAAUUUUUUUGGGAGAAUGAUUGUCAGCAACAUUUUAACUGCUACAAUUUUUCUCUUAUUUUGCGUUGUUUUCACCCAGUUAAUGAAAUUUUAUUCGCAAAACCUAACCCAACUGUUGACAACAUACAAUGGCAUCAGAAUAGUUUUGUUAAUCAAUCCAAAAACACAGCCUUGUUAUCCCUCAGUGGGGCUGAAACAUAAACACUUAUGCUGCCACUGAUAAUUUUCAAGCGCAUGUAGUCUCGUAUUGAAAUUGGAAAACAAUUAGUGGCUAAUCACAUAAAUUAUCAGCAACAAUGGAAUUGGUUGCUGGAAAUUUUCCUAAAAGUACAAUUUCAAUAAAAUGAGAUGCUAUACAGUAACUUCCGCCGCUGCUGUUUCUCAAAACCAUUCACGAUAUCAUCUAUUGAAUCCUCCCAUGAUUCAGCUGCUUCAAUCUAGGCAAAACAACAGCCAAAACAUACCACCCAUCAGUAUUUUGCAUUACAAAUUAUUGACAAUCAGUGCAACCAUAAAUACAGACCUCUUGACAAAGAUCUAAAGCAAGACGAGCUCCCACAGCUGCCUCCUCGUGGUUAUCUUUUACCUCCAGGUUGAUUAUCAGUGCACACUUCUUAAGAACAUGGUCCCGGUUGUUAAGAUCUAUACAUUGUUGCACAGGGGUCAGACAAGCAAACAAGGAUGGCUUCUCCAACUUACAGAUUAACCACAUAGUCAUUCAUAAAAUUAAAACGAAACAAACAAAAGCAAAUGGUGCCACAAUCUUUGAAGCUUCUUUUCCAGUGUGAACCAAAGGUUCAAAACUGAAACAUAAGCGCAUAUGGUUCAUGUUCUAAAUAGAUAACAACACUACAGGCAGAAGUAUAAAAGUAAAAAUUCCUUAAUUCACCUAAAGAUAACUCUAAACACUAAAAUUUUGAUCAAUUUUAACAAAUUAACCAUUAGAUUAUGUACCAAAAGUAGAGCACUUAAAAGGGAAAGAUUCGAUUUUGUGAGAUACUUCAAGUGGCAGACUAUGAAAUCAAACCCAUAGAGAAAUCUGAUGAAAACCCUGUCUCAUUAACAAAUUGCCAUAUUUUAAAACCAUAAGAAGAGGCCCUCACUCCGAUGGGCAACGGCCUUCUCCAGGAAAAAUAUCUCCAAGUUUAAAGCAAGCAGUCUCAAGCUAACACAUUCCAAUUUUCUACUCUAGUAGUCUCCAGCUCUGGCUUUAACACUACUCUAAAAAUUUCAAAAUCUUCCCGUUUAGAAUAAAUUCUUCCACAAGCUCAACUAAAGAAACGGAAACCCUCAAUGAUCCAAAAAGAUCUGUAUCCAAAAACCCUCACAAGAUAUAAACUUUACCUUUUCCUUGAGAUUUCAGCAUCUCUUAGACUCUAAAACCAGCAACUCUGUUGUAUGUAUAAAGUUCUAAUUUGCAUGGGAACCUUGACACUCCAAGUUUCUUAUUUUCUUAAUAUUCCCCCGCAGCAAAAAAUCAAGUUUAAAAUUUCCCUUGUUGUGCUGUUUCCAUUACCAUCUCCAUUGGUUAAGCUGACAGGAAUCAUAUGUCUAUAACUUAAGAGCUCAAGUUAACUUGCCAAUUGUAUCAGGUCAUCAUCAUUGCUAGAAUAAAAAUUCUAAUACUGAUAUUCUCAAGAGAACCAAGAAACACUACCUCGAAUUCAUAUUCCAACAGCUCAAUAGAUAGAGAUUGCCAAGAAACAAAAAACAGCAAAGGAAAGAACAGCAUUCAAUUAUUUCAUUUUCAGAGUGCUGUACUGUUGAAAUCCAUAAUAUGCAAGCCAUAAAUAGCAGAAGGGAGUAUUACCAACCUUCAAGAACCAUGUCAAAAACCUUUUCUUCAAAUGUAAAUACCACAUCGAAGGAACCGUCAGCAGCAUUAUCUUGCCACCGCUGAGGUGCCAGUUUGACCGUUGAGUUUCUUUUAAGCAUAGGCAAAAUGCCAUUACGCUUGUACCUGCACUCUUGCUGUCAAGGUUUCACUCUGCUUUUAAAUGAAAAAAGCACAGCUCACAAUCCAGAGUACGCACAUACAUUUCAAUUCAUACGUCCUAAAAAACUGAACUAUUGUUAUUGAGAGCAACCAAUCGAAUUAUACAUAAGAUUCAACAGGAUAAUUUCAUUGCCCAGAAAUUAUCAGACUGCCCAUUCAAUUGCCAAAUCUUGAAGCUUUAAGCCUACAAUCUUAGUUACAUACUAGUCCAGCUCGAAUAUAAGAAACCCAAACAUUAUGAAUUCAAGGUGCAAAGAUGAUCUUUUUAUUUUUAAUGUUUUCUUGGUAAUUUAAGGAAUUUAUUUAUUACUCAAAUAUCAAUGACCCAUAACCCCUUACAGGCAGAACUGAAAGCAAGAUAAGAAACUAAAAGAUCCAAAAUUACAAGAAGAACUAAAAGAAAAAGGGGGAAUCAGAACCGCUUAGAUUAUGACCAUUGACAUGACCCACAGGCUCUAAAACCCAAAGCAUCGAAAAACCUAAUUGAAUGAAAUUAAAAGAAGAAAAAGUUUAGAGGAGGAUACAGUUCGGGGUCUUUUCGCCUAAGAUCGUCGAACAUCUGCUUAUAAGGAGUUCCAAAGUCGUAAACGUUGGGUUCUCUGAGGGAAGGACCAGGGAGCUUAACGUGGGCACCAGUGCCGUAAGACGAGACGUCGAAGCCUUGCCUCUUGAGGAGCGAGUGAGCCUCCAUGCUUCGGUUCUGGUUCGACGAACACACCAUGGCGUACCGGAACUUCAUGGCAGACACUGAACACACCACUGUGAACUCUCUCUCUAUCCGAUUCACAAUACGACGACGUCGGGGGCUGGGGCUGCGUGGGUUUUUUUUCACUUCUUCAGUAUUGUCAAUUUCUUUUCUCUUCAAGUAAAUAGUAUUGUCAAACGUAUAGCAGUGCUGCUAUACAGUAUACUCCAUUAACUAGUAUAUUUAAUAGUAUAGCCGCGCGGCUAUACUCCAUACAUAGAAUAUUCUAAUCGUAUCGCCGAGCGGCUAUACUUCAUAAAUUAUAAAUUCAAUAGUAUCGCCGCGCGGCUAUACUCAUACAUAGAAUAUUGUAAUAGUACAGCCGAACGGCUAUAUUCCAUAAAUAGUAUAUUUAAUAGUCUAGCCGCGCGGCUAUACCCCAUAAAUAGUAUAUGUAAUAGUAUAGCCGGCCGGCUAUACGCUAAAAAAAGAAUAUUUCACCAGCAGGCCGAACGGCUAUAAACCAUAAAAUAGUAUAAUAGUAUAGCCGCACGGCUAUACCUUAUAUAUAGAAUAAUUUAAAAGUAAAGGCGUGCUGCAUAUUCCGUACAACGAAUAUUUUAAACGUAUCGCCGCGCGGCUAUACUCCAUAAAUUGAAUAUUUUGACAAUGUAGCCGCGCGGCUAGACGCCAUACAUAGUAUAUUUAAACAUAUAGCGGCUAUACUACAUAAAAUAGCAGAAUCUUGAUUUCGCUUUUUUAAUUAGUUUAAUUAGUAGUUGAGUUUUAAUUAUUAUUUACUUAGUGAAUCAUUAGUAUUUAAAUAUUUUAUCAAAGAGAAAAUUUAAAUACUAUUUAUUAAGUAAUAUAUAAUUUAUGAAGUUAAUUAAAAUAUUAAUUAUUAAUUAUUUACUAAAGAAAUAAUAAUUAAAAUAUAAUUACUAAUGAAAGUAAUUAAAUAAAGCUAAUAUUUUAUUUGAUUACUAAAUUGAUAUUUAUUUUCAAAAAUAUCUCUCCCGACGAACUUUCAUCGGUAUAGGUCUAUCAUGGCGCAAAUUUGCCAAUUAGACCUCUCCCGACGAACAUUCAUCAAAAGAGGUUAGUUUCGUCGAGGGAGGUCUAAUCCGGCAAAUAUUUGCCGACAUAGAUCUAUGCAGACAAGGUUUUGUCUGGGGAGGUUUUUUUUUUUAAUAAAAAUAUAAAUUAUAAAUUUAGUUUCUUUAUUUUAGUUUUUUUGUCAACUUCUUUAGUUUAAUAUGUGUAAUUAAGUAACAUCUUAGCUUUUUUAAAUUAUUUUAAUUAGUAAUUAUGUUUUAAUUAUUAUUUCUUUAGUUAAUAUUUAAAUAUUUUGUUUAAUAAAUAGUAAUUAAUUAUUUUCCGAACAUUGUUUUUGUUUUUUAUUUUUAUAUUAAAUAAUAAUUAAAAUAUAAUAUAUUUAAAUAGUAUAGCCUCUAGGCUAUGCAGUUCAAAUAUUCAAAUUUAUUUAAGGAAAUAUGACAAAGAACACCUAAAAAGAUAAGCAACCUCUUUAUAUCAUUGCUCAUGCACAUGCAACACACAAAAAAUGCAUAAAUUUUCCCUCAACCACAAGCGCACACUAGGGAACAAACCUAUAAUGUAAAUACGUACCAUGUCUAAUUGAUUCAUUAUAAAGAAUCUUGAUUUUCCCUCAACCACAAGUGCACACUAAGGAACAAAGCUUUGUUACAGUGAAAUCAAGAUUUUUAUUGUUGGAAAUAUAUUUAAAGAGUAUAGCAGCGCGGCUAUACUCCAUGAAAUAGUAUAUUUAAUAGUAUAGCCACGCGGCUAUAAGCCAUACAUAGAAGAUUUUAAUAGUAUAGCCAUGCGGCUAUACGCCAUAAAUAGUAUAUUUAAUAGUAUAGCCGCGCAACUAUACCCCAUAUAAAUAUUAUAUUUAAUAGUAUAACCUCUCGACUAUACUCCAUACAUAGAAUAUUUUAAAAGUAUAGUAGCGCGGCUCUUAGUAUUGAUUGGUUGUGUUUGAUUAACCAAGUAUCGUCAUCCUUUUCUAAUAUAAAAUUUGUUUGGAAUGGGUUCCAUCACACUACUUGCUAAGCUAGAUGAUAACUGAAUAUUAUGUAUAAUGUCAUAUUUUUUAUUGUUUUGUAGCCUCAUAUAUAAAUAUAUAUUUUUUUUUUCAUAUACGUAACCAAGUAUGUAUGAAGGUAAUGACAUAGAAAACGUAGAAAUUGAUGACGAAGAAAUAGAGGAAGACGAAAUAAAUGAAGAAUUUGAUGAAGUCAUUAAUAUUUUAGUGAUGGCAAUUUAUGCAAUAACACAUAUACUAAAUUAGUUUCUGAUUAUGAUGCAUGGUGAACAAAUUGAACGUCCACUAACUCGACGAUGAAUUACUAGCAUUGGAUAUGACUAUAUACAUCAAGCAUUGAAUGAUGAUCUUGCAAUCUUCCGGCAAGUAUAUAGAAUGUAUCCAUAUGUAUUCCAUAAGUUAUGCACUAUUCUUAGAGAAAAAAAUACUUUUGGAGGAUACAAGAUUUAUUUGUGUUGAAGAAAUGCUUGCAGUGUUCCUACAAAUCAUUGGCCAAAAUACUAGAUAUUGUGUAACUCGUAAUACAUUUAGCCGAUCACAAUUCGCUGCAAGUGAAAAAUUUUACAAUAUUUUAAAGGCCUUGAAUUCAAUAGCAUAUGAUUUGAUGGCUAAACCAGAACCGGCUGUGCCCGCUAAAAUACGGGAAAGCACAAGGUUUUACCCUCAUUUCAAUGCAUGUGAUGAUUAUCUAAUUAUAUUAAUAUUGUAAUUAUAAUUGUCAUUAUUAUAAUAUGUAAUUUUCAUAAUAUGGUUAUAUUUACAUAUGAAUAAUUUUAGGAUUGCAUCAGAGCUAUUGAUGGUACAUAAGGGACGAGAAGCAAGCAGCUAUGGUAAUCGUCAUGGAAAGAUAUAACAAAAUAUAUUAGCAGCUUGUAACUUUGAUUUGGAAUUCAUUUACGUUCUUAGUGGGUGGGACGGUUCAGCUCAUGAUUCAAAGCUACUAAGUGAUGCUUUAUCAAGGAGGAACGGACUUAAAGUGCCUCAAGGUAAAAUCCUAUAAGUCAUUACAUUAUGAUUAAAUCCACUUAAUUUUUUUAUUUUAAAGUAAUCUUUUAAAAUCUCAUUUGAAUACACCCACUAAACCUCCCUUAUAUUUUCAAAAAAGUCACUAUCAUCAAAAUGCAUUUUUCCCUAUCUAAAAUAUAUAUACACGAAAAAAUAAGGCUCCACUAUAAGUGGGACGCGUGGCCCGUUAAGCUAUCACUCGUAAGUUCGUAACAUAUAACCAAAAUAAGAAAUUUCAGAAAAGCAAAUUGGGCCAAAUUAGAAAUCAAUGGCUGUAAACAAGUCCAGUCGAUGCAAUUCAAUGGAGGCCGAGGCCCCAACAAAAAAAAGGCGGAGAUGAUUUUUUGUUUUUGAGUUACAAAGAAAAUGUGAUUCUCAAUUUUUCACAAGAGGACGCAAUCCAACAUAAUCACUUGGAACUCCUAAGUGGGCCCCCAAUGCUCUAUCCUUAUUUGGGUUUCUGGAUAUAUCGCGAAGAUUGGCCUUGGGGUACUUCCAAUGAAAUCAUCUCAGAGCAACAACAAAAGUGUACUAUGUGGAUUGAUGUGGCAUGUUCACUUAUUACAAAACAACAACAAAAUUGUAUUUUUAUAAUAAUAAAAUAUGUGGGAUCUAAGACACCUAUUUAUUUUGGAGUAGUCAAUAUUGUCUUAGUAGGGAGAGUAAGUAUAUUUUACCUACUCAUUUGACUUUUUUUUUGAAACAUGAAAAUGGUAUGUGGCAAGGCAAACGAAGUUUACUUACUCUUUUAUCUCUUUCAAUGAAGAUGCUUUUAGACUGGGCUCGUUUGAGAGUGAUUCUGGAGAGGCAAAUAAUCACUUUUAUAAAUAAUCACUUUAAGUUAUUAUAUGGAAAAGCACGUGAAAUGUGCUUCUCUCCAGAAUUACUUAAAAUCACUUAUGGAGAAGGAAAUGGAAAGUAUUUCUUCCCAAAAGUAAUUCAAAUCUAUUAUGAAUUACUCCCAAAUGAGCCCAUAGUGUUAUUCUACAAGGUUUGGUGAAGCCAUGAAACUGGAAAGUCCUAAGACAGCCAUGUUUUUAUAUUUUUGCACUUAAAAUAUAAACUUAUUUGGAGCUUCUCUACCAGAAUAAAAACUAAAUCCCACCAAAUAGUCAUAAACUUAGGAUCUUCUCCUGCUUUACAAAUUAUAAAUAAAAUAAAAAAAACUUAGGAUAUUCUCUACAAAUAUAUAUAUAUAUAUAUGUCUCGUUGAAAAUGUUGUUUGGGCUUUGGCCCCUAUUAUACCCACACAAAAGAAAUAAUAAUGCACAUAAUUUUUUAUUUAUUUUCCCAUUAUUUUGUCUCUAUUUCCAGAUGGAGGAUAAAGGAGGAUCACAAAAUGUAAAAAUUGGCAAUUUUGCACUACGCCCACAGAAACCUUUGAAUUGUAAACGCCGACGUCUCCCUACACGUAACACACAGAUAGACACGCACACGCUCUCUCUCUGUCUAUAAAUUUUGCUCACUGGUAUGAAUUCCACAAGUCCUGUUGAAUUCCCAUUUUGCUAACUAGGUUUUCAUUGUUAAGCGAAAAAGAAUCAGAUUUUCAUCUUCCUGUCAGUUUUAAUCAUAAAUUAUAGGGUUGGGUUAGCAGAGCUGAAGAUGGAAGCAGCAGCCACGGCGAGCGUUGUCCAAUCAUCAAUCGCGGCCUUUAGGCCUUCCAAUUCAAUUGGCAGAUCGGGUAAUUUGGCGGCCAAUGGUCCCGCCGGUUUUCUGCGUUUGAGUCCUGGAUUUCACUUCUCAAUCAAGGUACUUUUUUGUUGUUGUUGGGGAUUUGGUUUCCUAAUGCGGUUUCUAAUAUGCUUGGUAGGUUUGGGGUCUUGGGUCUAUACAAUAUGCAUGAUCCCGAGUGUGUCGCGAGAAAUAAGUUGAUCUGGUAAUUGAUGAGAAUUCUAGGGUUUCUGUUAAAUAGUGAAAGAUUAAAUCUUGAUUAGGAGUGUAGGACUUUUAGUUGGUAUGGUUAGAUUGUGUUGUUUGUAGCAUAAGCUUUAAUGUCUUUCCACAAAUAAAAGAGAAAAGAGCACAUAUCUUUUUUAGAUUGAUACACAAAGAACGGGUUUUGGAGGUAGGAGAUGACCCCUUUCCGGAACACUUGAGGGUUUUGGAUUGAUUUUUCUUUCAACCCUUUCAGAAUAUUUCUAGCUGUGACAGAUGGACCCUCAUUUUGUUUAUUGGAUUGGUGAGCUUGGAGUUGUAGUUGAGUAAUAUUUAAUCUUAUUUCAUGUUUAGCAGCACCAGUUUUCAAUCUCUCAACCAAAGGUGGGUCAUUGGAGAAUGGGCUUUGGAAGUAGGAGAUGCUUGGUCGUUAGGGCAGCAGCUGCAUCUCCAUCUCCGGACUCAACAGGUUCUACUUCUCCAAUUGCCCCACUUCAGCUGGAGUCACCAAUUGGACAGUUCCUCUCUCAGAUAAUGAUAAGCCACCCGCAUCUUGUGCCUAGUGCAGUUGAGCAGCAGCUUGAACAGCUUCAAACAGAUCGCGACACUGAGCAAAAGCAGGAAGAGCCUUCUGCUUCUGGCACUGACCUCGUUUUGUACAGGUUUGUUGCAAUCUUGCGAUUGAGGAAUAGCCAAUUGUGUUUUCAAUUAAGUCAAGCUAAGCUACAAAAUUGAACCAUAAGUUAAAUGUUUUGUUUUCAUACGAAUAUCAGAAUAAAGGAAAGGAAAAGUUUGACCUUUUUGUGUAAUUUUAGCAAGAAAGUUUCUGUUGUUCUUAACAAUCUAGAAAAUGACAUGAUGAAAAGAUUUUUUUUAUUUAAGAAAAAUAAAGAAACAGAACUUGCAGUCUUUUUUUAUUAUUUUGAUUUAACCUUGCCUCGCCUCCUCCAUCAUUUGCUAUAUGGGACUAAAUAGAUAAAUGUAGUUUUGAAGAGAUAUAUUGAUCCUUUAUUAACUUAUUCUGCAAUAUCAGGAGAAUUGCCGAGGUUAAGGCUACUGAAAGGAGAAAGGCUCUUGAAGAGAUUUUGUACACUUUGGUGGUGCAAAAAUUCAUGGAUGCUAAUGUUUCUUUGAUACCUGCCCUUACCCCAUCUGCUUCAGACCUUUCUGGUCGAGUUGAUACAUGGCCAAGUGAAGAGGACAAGCUUGAGCAACUUCAUUCACCUGAAGCCUAUGAGAUGAUCCAGAACCACCUAGCUCUCAUCCUAGGAAGUCGGUUGGGUGACUCAGCCUCUUUAGCACAGAUAAGCAAACUCAGAGUUGGGCAGGUUUAUGCAGCAUCUGUAAUGUAUGGGUACUUCCUCAAGCGGGUUGACCAGAGGUUUCAGCUGGAGAAGACAGUAAAGAUCCUUCCAAAUGCACUGGGUGCCGAAGACAGUAAUGUUCAGAAAUCUGUGGGGGAGGACAUGAGGCCUGGUGGUGAAGAGGAGUCUUUGCAAGCAGGGGCUUCCCAUCCUGAAGUCACUUCCUGGGGUGGAGGCAUCAGUCCUGGGGGUUUUGGUAAUGGAAUUAAGCCAUCCCGCUUGCGGACCUAUGUGAUGUCUUUUGAUGGAGAGACCCUUCAUAGGUAUGCAACAAUUAGAUCGAGAGAGGCUGUUAGCAUCAUUGAAAAGCACACCGAGGCAUUGUUUGGAAGACCUGAUAUUGUCAUAACACCUCAGGGGACUGUUGAUUCUUCCAAGGAUGAUCACGUCAAAAUUAGCUUUGGUGGUUUGAGGAGACUUGUUCUGGAAGCCGUGACUUUUGGUUCUUUUCUUUGGGAUGUUGAGAGUUAUGUGGAUUCCAGGUAUCAUUUUGUUACAAACUGAGUUAUGUUGAGUGAAGAUCCUGCCCUUGCAAACUUGGUGGUGCGUGUGGAGGCACAACAUUACAUACCAUAAUGGGAUAUUGACUGUAGGCCUAGUGAAAAUACCAAAUAUUUGUAUUUGGUGCUAAUUGCUGUGUAUAUAUAAACUGUUCAAGAUUUGCCUUUGUCCGUGCUGUGUGGAGAAAUAGGUAGGAUUUUAUUACUUUGAUCUCAAGUGUGGAGCCGGACCAUUUUGCAGGGUUUUGAAACUGUGUAAUUUUUCUGUUCGCGUGUCGAGGAUUUUUCAUUGAUACAAGAAGUUACAAGAAGAUAAAACGUGGGUAAUUUUAUUUCAUAGAGAACGCUUAGGGGAGAGUCUGUCUUGACAUCUCUACAUGGAAUCGUAAAGAAGCUUGGAUAGAUUCAGACGAUGCAGAAGUGUGCCAGAUACAUCGUAGAAUGCAAAUUCAGCAUCAGUCUCUGUAAAUUGUGCAGAUAAGAAACCCUGCCCGUCAUAGUAAAACUUGGACCCAUCCCUUUUCAUUUUAAUGUCACCCUUCCAUGCUUUCGACCCACCACCACUGGUCAAGAAUUGGAUUUGGCUGCGUAAACAACUUCAACUAGUGAGAUUUUUAAGAAACAAUUCAAUUUAUUGAUAAAUAGAACUAGUAACGGUUAAAGCUAUGUUUACCUGUUGGUGCUGCUUAUGUGUUCCAAGCAGUGGUCGUGUCCAUUUAUGUACGCAUCAACGUUGUUUGCCUGAAUCAUAAUGAAUCAUAAUAAAAAUACGAAUAGAUUAGAUUAUCGCUUGUACAAAAACUAAACAAAAAAAUAUAUGAAAUAUAUGAAGAUGAAGUUACCUCUAGAAUGGGAAGAAUCUGGUCUACUACUUCUUUGGUGUCUCCAUGAUGCCCUAUGCUUCGGAUUGUAUGAUGUCCGACGACAACUUUCCAGUUUGCAGAAGAAUUUCUCAAUGCAAAAUCUAGAUCCUGUUCCCAAAACAAAAGCAAUGUAUUAGAUUUGGACAAUGAAAAGCACUGUUUGAAUAUGAUGGUAGAAAGGAUCCAAUGUUGUAAUGAGAAAGAUGAUGAGAAGAACCUUCAAGAGGUUGGAGGUGUACUGUUUCCUAGGAAGCACACCUCUCCAGUCAUGCUGGUAGUGCUUUUGCCUCAGAAAGUACUUGUCCACAAAAGGAUUGGUGUCGAUGAAGAAGAAGUCUGCAAUUUUUGUGUUAACAAGAAAGGACCUGAGGCAAAGCCAGCGGCUGUCGAUCUUCCUAAGGACUGGGCUCAAUUGGGCCAAAGCAUUUCCCCUGUAGUCAUGGUUGCCAAGAACUGAGAGUUCCCCAGAAUCAAAGUGAAGGAGAUAAGAUGGAAAACAAAGUCAGCGCCAUGCCUAUGCCAAUUUCCAUGAGAAGAGUCAGUCAGUUUUGUGUGCAAUUGAACUCACCAAUAUACCAUUGCUUUUGGAGGCUCUUAGCAGUGUAGAUUUCAGUAAACGACUCCACAAAUGCAGGGUCAUUUACGCUGGUCAAUCCCCUGCUGUAAAAAUUAUCCCCAGUAGAGAUCACGAAGUCUAUGUUUAAUUUGGCUCCAAUCUCUCCCAUCUACAAUUCAUUACAAAACACCGCAACAUUAUUGUCUACUGUCCUCCAGAAAUCCCUUGCCCCCCUUGGAAACAGAGGAAACAGAGCACCACGAAACCAAGAAAGAAGAAAAUCCCAGGCCACAUACUGAUACUCCACGGAGGAUUUCCAAUAAAUUCCAAGUUUAUAGAUGCAAUUAACAUUCUAAUUGUAUUUAGUUUACUUUAGGAUGGUACCUAUCAAACCAACAAAAAAAAAACUCUCACAUGAAAAUAGUUUUUCUUUCUUUGUUUCUUUCUUAUCGUUUUUUCUGGAAAGAAAGAGCUGAAUGUUAUCCCUGUGCUGCAACAUAUCAUAUGGCUUGUAUUUAUUCGUUGGGAAAAUCUGAACCUGAAAUCCCAUCUCAAAAUAUAUGUCCUUCUCCUGGUGUUGACACCUAAUUACCGAAACAAGUAGAGAGAGCGGUAAAAGGAGGGUGACGCAUGGAGCAGCAAGUGAUGAGUUGUUGGAACAUAAUGGCUUCUGGACAUGCAACACAAUUCACAUUUGUCCUUUACUUUUGCGGAAUAUGCCAAGUAAAAAAGAAUGAUCCCGUUCAAAAAGAAAAAGCUAAUCCGUCCUGCUAAAUGACGAAACUUUUCAUGCAUAUCAUGCAGCUAGCACAGGAACAAAGCUGUUCGUUAGGUGGUACCUUUUCUCUGCAGCUUCUUAAUUAGCUUGCACACAGAGAGAGAGAGAGAGAGAGAGAGCGAGAGAGCGAGCUUCUCAUCAAGACUAUUUCAGUAUGUAAAAGAAACACAUAACACAUAAAAGGAACAGGAAAUAUAUACUACUAUUCCUUGAGGAGGUUGUGUGGAAAAUAGGAAUCAACUGGAGAUUAAAGAAAACAUGAUUAAACCGUGCAAAUUUAAGGCGGGGAAGGAAAUUAAGUUACCAAGUUAAGCAUACAGUUCCCCUAUAAAUUAUAAUUAAUUUUAUUAUGUAAGUAGCAAAUACAAUCUUCUCUCUGUUGUUAAUUAAGAACCAAACGAGGCUUAAUUAUAAGGAAACUAAGAAACUUCGUAGAUAGAAGAGAUCAAGAGUCUGUCUAUGAUAAACAUAUUGAUAAACAGAUUAAAGAGAAGAAAAGUCUGUGGAGUCUAGUUUGUUUUGUAGUAAAGAUGGAUAAAAAUGGAUGAAGUGAAGAGAGAUUAUAAAACCUGAUAAGCUACUUGAGAUUGAUUGUAAGCACCCCUUCUGCCCCAAUCACCAAUCGCCAAGAAGCUAAGUGACCCAUCGGCUUUGACAGGGUGCUCAAAUCGCUGAAGCUCGGCUGUCGACACAGAAACAAAGCUCAACCAAAUAAUAUUGUACAUGCAAAUAACCACCCACAGCCACAGGAAACCCAUGGACAUGGCCGGAUAUUGUUAAUGAUCGAAAUCAACCAAUGUUCUGAUUUGGAACUAUGAUGCAAGAGAGAGAGAGAGAGCAGAGAGUAGAGAGAGAGAGAGAGAGAGCAGAGAGUAGAGAGAGAGAGAGAAAGCAGAGAUGGUUGAAACUAUGAUGAAACUUCUAAAUUUGAGUGUAUAUAUAUAGGCUAAUUCUUCUCAGUGGCUGUACAAACACACAGUAGGUGAUAAUUAAUGAUCUAAAGACCAUAUAUAGUGCAAUAUUUACACUCUAAUUUUAAGAUGUCCCAUACACAAAUGUAAAAAUAACAUGCAAUGCAAAGGAAAGUGAAUGCUACGUCGACCCACCGAUCUACUUUAAGAUAUAGCAGCAGCGGGCCGCAUAUCUGCAAGGUAGUGCAGUAAAUUUGCGGUAACGCUGGGUCCCAUCCUGGCUAGGGUUUCUUUCUUAUCAGUUUCCUAGCAAUUUCCUAAAUCUUGUUUUUGUCUUCCAGGUUUAUGUCCUUUGGCAAUUAGGUGACAAUAAGUGGACCCAGCGGAGAAUCCUCUCUCUGUGUCCUGAGCCUGAAGACACAAACUUGGCUGAUGGAGCCAAAGUUUCAAAUUAAAUGACCACAUUCGUAUCAUGUUACCCUCUUGAUUUAUUGGCGUGUCUCAGUCUUAGAAAAUGUACCAUAUAUUUCUUGGCUUAAUUUUGUCUUUCUAGUUGUUUGCCACGCAAGAAUGGAUCAGUUGGCAGGAAGUUCUGCUAAACACAUCCUUAAUUAUGUUUGUUUGUUUCCAGAUAACAUAUUUGAGAAGCAGCUUGAAUCUGGGUUUCCUUGUUUUGUUUAAAAUGUUGUACUUGUAUGGAGCAAGAUAAUCUUGGCAUAUAUAACUGUAGCGGUCGAAAAAAUCAACCAAUUUGGUAAUUAAGGAUGCAGCCAAAUGAGGGACAUUAAUUAAAAAAUAAGAACAUUUGGUAAUUGAAUCUAUUGAAGAAUACACAAGUCCCACAUCAGAAACUUAACAAAAUAAAAAGUCCCCGUAUAAUAAAUGGUUCCACUCCUAAUAACAUCGAGGCCUUUUGUAUAAAACUCCACACCUGCUAAACAGGUGGGUAAAUUGGCAACAAUAUCAAUGUUGCUAGUGGUGGGCCAAGGGUGUCACACCCCGGGAUCGGCUCCGCCGUAGCACGAUAUUGUCCGCUUUGGGCCCCCCUCUCUGCCCGCACGGUUUUGUUUCUGAGAGCUCACGAACAACUUCUCAGUGAGUCACCCAUCCUGGGAUUGCUCUGGCCCCCAACUCGCUGAACUUCGGAGUUCCUACGACUCCGAAGCCAAUGAGCUCCCAAAAGGCCUCGUGCUAGAUGGAUGCGGUGUGCACAUAUAAGGCACAUCACCCACUCUCCGUUGGUUGAUAUGAGAUCUUACAAUCCACCCCCCUUAAGGGCCCGACGUCCUCGUCGGCACACUCGCACCACACGACAGAAUGGCUCUGAUACCAAAUUAUCACAUCCCGGGAUCAACUCCGUCGUAGCACGAUAUUGUCCGCUUUGGGCCCCCCUCUCUGCCCGCACGGUUUUGUUUCUAGGAGCUUACGAGCAACUUCCCAGUGAGUCACCCAUCCUGGGAUUGCUCUGGCCCCCAACUCGCUUAACUUCGGAGUUCCUACGACUCUGAAGCCCGUGAGCUCCCAAAAGGCCUUGUGCUAGAUGGAUGCGGGUGUGCACAUAUAAGGCACAUCACCCACUCUCCGUUGGUUGAUGUGGGAUCUUACAAUAAAAGAAGAGGCGAACCUGUCAAACAACCGAUACAACCACCCCAGCCAGUCACCCAGCUGAGAAUGAUCCUCUACGGCUAUUUGGUUCCUAAGGAACUAGAAGCUGUUAAUCACGCUCUGAUCGUACGGUCUUGAUUCAUCAACCAAGUUGGGAUUCCUGUCUCCUUAGAAAUCAAGGAUACAGAGGUACGAUCCUAUAGAACAGAUAUUGUCCGCUUUGGGCCCCCCUCACUGCCCGUACAGUUUUGUUUCUAGGAGCUCACGAGCAACUUCCCAGUGGGUCACCCAUCCUGGGAUUGCUCUAGCCCCCAACUCGCUUAACUUCGGAGUUCCCACGACUCCGAAGCCAGUGAGCUCCCAAAAGGCCUCGUGCUAGAUGGAUGCGGGUGUGCAUAUAUAAGACACAUCACCCCCUCUCCGUUGGUUGAUGUGGGAUCUUACAAUCCACCCCCCUUAAGAGCCCGACGUCCUCGUCGGCACACUCGCACCACACGGCAGAGUGGCUCUGAUUGUCACACCCCGGGAUCGGCUCCGCCGUAGCACGAUAUUAUCCCCUUUGGGCCCCCCCUCUGCCCGCAUGGUUUUGUUUCUGGGAGCUCACGAGCAACUUCCCAGUGGGUCACCCAUCCUGGGAUUGCUCUAGCCCCCAACUCGCUUAACUUCGGAGUUCCUACGACUCCGAAGCCAAUGAGCUCCCAAAAAGCUUCGUGCUAGAUGGAUGCGGGUGUGCACAUAUAAGGCACAUCACUCCCUCUCCGUUGGUUGAUGUGGGAUCUUAUAAUAAUUGUCACACCCCGGGAUCGGCUCCACUGUAGCACGAUAUUGUCCGCUUUGAGCCCCACUCUCUGCCCGCACGGUUUUGUUUCUGGGAGCUCAUGAGCAACUUCCCAGUGAGUCACCCAUCCUGGGAUUGCUCUGGCCCCCAACUCGCUUAACUUCGGAGUUCCUACGACUCCGAAGCCAGUGAGCUCCCAAAAAGCCUCGUGCUAAAUGGAUGCGGGUGUGCACAUAUAAGGCACAUCACCCACUCUCCGUUGGUUGAUGUGGGAUCUUACAAUCCACCUCCCUUAAGAGCCCGACGUCCUCGUCGGCACACUCGCACCACACGACAGAGUGGCUCUGAUACCAAAUUGUCACAUCCCGGGAUCAACUCCGCCGUAGCACGAUAUUGUCCGCUUUGGGCCCCCCUCUCUGCCCGCACGGUUUUGUUUCUGGGAGCUCACGAGCAACUUCCCAGUGAGUCACCCAUCCUGGGAUUGCUCUGGCCCCCAACUCGCUUAACUUCAGAGUUCCUACGACUCCGAAGCCAGUGAGCUCCCAAAAGGCCUCGUGCUAGAUGGAUGCGGGUGUGCACAUAUAAGGCACAUCACUCACUCUUCGUUGGUUGAUGUGGGAUCUUACAAAGGGUCCGUCCCUUUGAAAUCUUAACAUGGUAUCAGAGUCAAGUUGGUUGACUGGACCCGAUUAAACCAAAUCAAACAAACUCAAAUCAAACAAAAAAAACCCCAAAUUGAAUCAAAAUCAAACAAACCCCAAAUUAUAAAAAUAAAACAAAUAAAAAAUAAAAAGUGAACGAUGUGGAAUUGGUUGCACGUGUGGCCCAGUAAAAAGUGGUCCCACGUGAGGAGGAGUGUUGAAGAAUACACGAGUCCCACAUCGAAAACUUAACAAAAUAGAAAGUCCCAUAUAAUAAAUAGUUCCACUCCUAAUAACAUCGAGGCCUUUUGUAUAAAACCCCACACCUGCUAAACAGGUGGUUAAGUUGGGGACAAUAUCGAUGUUGCUAUUGGUGGGCCAAGGAUCCGUCCCUCUGAAAUCUUAACAGAAUCUUCGUCCUGGCAACAAUCUAUAAUAUGAACUAUAUGCGGCUGCAUUGAAUCUGAAUCUGAAGCUAUAAUAUCUUCCCUCUAGGCUUCUAGGCUGGAGGUACAAAACUUAAUUUAUGUAGAUGGGUGAAGCUGCUUGGAAGAAUGCGAUCUAUGUAAAACCUUGCCAAAAACAUCAUAAAAAGCGAUCUCUGCAUCCGUGGGAUUCAACUGCACAGACAUAAAGCCUUGACCAUCAUAAAAGAAGUUGAGCCCUUCUUUGUUCAACCCCUUAAUGUCUCCCCUCCAUGCUUUGGACCCUGCUCCACUUGUUAGAAAUUGUAUUGGGCUGCAACAAAUCCAGUUUCAAUCAGCUUUAGUUGCACAUACAGACUCUUCCAUUCUUAAGAAACACCUGAAUUGAACUUACCUUUCUGUGUCACUAAUGUGUUCUAGGCAAUGAUCGUGCCCGUUCAUGUAAAAAUCGACAUCAUUGGCCUAAGAUUUAUGAAGGAUUUAGCAGAGUUAGCAUCUAUUUUACAUCCAUUCAUCUCAACAAGAAAGCAGCAUAAAAUUAACCCUUUGCUUUAGAAUUGGAAGCUUUGACAGAUAUACCUGAAGGAUUGGGAGAAGCUGCUUUAUAAGUUCCUCUGUAUCACCAUGAUGCCCAACACUUCUAAUUGCAUGGUGACCAACUACUAUCUUCCACUUUGCAGACGACUUCUUCAGUGCAAACUCGACAUCCUAUUACAACAUCAUUAUUUAUAUUAAUAAGCAUCAUCAAUGAUUAAGCACAUUUUAGGUAAGAAAGAUACUCAAAAUUCAAAAUGGUAGCAGAAAAUUAAUUAUAUAUAUAUUAUAUACCUUCAAUAAGGUUGCAAUAUAAUCCUUGCGAGAGGUAAUGCCUCGCCAAUCAUAAGUAUGGUCCUCUGUGUUUGUGAAGUACUUAUUGACAAGAGGAGUGGUGUCCACAAAGAAAAUCUCUGCUAAUUCUGGGGAAAAAGAGAUAGGACGAAAUUGCUUAUGUUAUGAUUGAGUCUUACAGAUAUCAAUUUCUUGUGUAGAAAAACUGAUACUAAGAGUAUGUAUAAUAUAUGCUCACCUGCAUUGACAAUGAAAGACCUCAAACAAAUCCAUCUGCUAUCAAUUUUCCUAAGAAGAGGGCUCAGUUGAGCCUCUGCAUCACCCCUGUAGUCAUGGUUGCCCAACACUGCAUUCAAAGUUAUCAAAGUCAAAAACAAAUUUAUUGAAAUUUUUAUAACUAAAAGCUUUCUUUCGAGUAUUGGAAAUUUGGAACUUACCGCUGUACCACUGCUUUUGCAGGCUUUUUGCUGUGUAGAUUUUGGUAAAUGACUCCUCAAAUGCUGUGUCAUGUUCGCUUGCCAAUCCAUUAUCAUAAAAGUUAUCGCCCGUCGAAACCACAAAAUCUAUGUCAAGCUUCUCUCCAACCUUUCCCAUCUACAAAAGUAGUCGUACCACAAAUUUGUUUAGCAAACACAGAUUAGAUUGACUAAUUCUUGCACUUGAAGCAAUCAAGAAAAUGCAGGCAGGGGACUCAGAGAGAAGAAAAACAACAAAGGGAAACAAGGUAUACUGUUAUAUGUUUUUUCUUACUAUGUAAAACUUUUUUUUUUAUGAAAGUAUGUUCUUGAGUGGCUGUGGCUUCACAUGAUGCACCUUGCCAGAAAUCAUGAGUAGAAUAUAUGAAUGACAAGAAGCAUUAGAAGUUGUGGAACCUGAAAGGCAACUUGAGAUUGGUUAAAAGCUCCUCUUCUCCCCCAGUCACCAAGUACCAAGAAACUAAGUGAUCCAUCUUCUUUGGUGGGAUGUUCGAAUCUCUCAAGCUCUGCAGAUGUAAUUACCAGACACAGGCCAAAACUCAGGAUCAAGAAAAAGCACAAGGUCCUGGAAUUUUUGUAAGGUAUAGCCAUAAUUUGAUAUGGCUCUGCCGGAGUUUAUAAGGAAAUUAAUAACUGUAUGUAUGGAUGAAUGAAACUGAGGCAAGAGUAAAGAGUUAAAGAGUCCUGCGGCCUCUUAUAUAAUAGCAAGGUUGGUAAUUAAGUAAGAAACAAGGCCAUUUAAUUAUAAUUAUGAUUCAUGAUGAAGAUGAUGACAGCAUAUUUUCUCAUCCAGCAACUGAUGUUGGUGUAAAAUUUGUAAUUUAGUGCUGCUGAGUGAUUCUUUCUUUCUUUUUCUUUGGUUUUUUUUUAUUAUAUAUAAGUAUUGGUUUAAAUUUGAUUGCGUUUGAUUUGACAGAGAGAACAUGAACAUGACUCAUGACCAUAAUGUUGUUUCAUGGAUUAUAAAUCUAUAGUUAGAACAGACAGUUUCAACUUUGAAGACAGUGCAGUACACAAGAGGUUUGCAAUUAAAAAACCCAAUUAUUUAUAACCACACAACAGAAUUUGUUAUAAUCAUGCAGGUGCAUGCAUCAGAAUUUCAGAAAGAUGCAGUGAUGAGAUGCGAAUAUGCCUCUGGCAUAACUGCUAGAGCCGUUUAGAAUAUUCGGAGGAUCCGAGUCCAAGAUCGGGAAUUCUGUUUUCCCCCACUCAGAAUAUGACACGGCAGACGUCAUCAUCACCUAAAAGCGAGCCAAAUUGGUUUCUUUGAAACUACCUUCUUUUUUUUUUUUUUUAAGAAACUACUAUUGAGUAUGACUACUACGGCUCCUUAACCUAAUAAAGGCUAAUAAAGGCAGAGGGUAAGCGAGAAGAAAUACUUUCCUUUCUCCGUUUCAUUGUAUUCCUAUUUUUAUCUCUCUCUCUUAUGCUUUAAUAGGUGGAGUCAUGCUAUAGUGAGGGACUUAUCUAAAGCCCUUAAAUAAGAUAAUGUCUUCUCUCUUAACUAUUUGAUUAAACUAAUUCAUUUAAUCUAACUCCUAAUUAAUUUGAUCCAACGAUUAAGAGAUAAUGUUUCAUCUAAGAGCCUUACUUACUAUAAAAUUCUUGUUGAUAGGUGAUAGAAAGAUGAGGACAAUGAAACUAGAAUAGAAAAGUUUUUAAUAGUUUAUACAAUAUUUUAAAGGUAUGCCAAGGGGGUAUACUCCAUAAAUAGUAUAUUUAAUAGUCUAGUCGCACGGCUAUACUACAUAGAAUAUUGUAAAGGUAUCGCCGCGUGGCUAUACUCCAUAAAAGUAUAGCCGGACAGCCAUACUCCAUAAAAAUAUUUACGCUAAAUAUUUAACAGUAUAACCGGGCGGCUAUACCCCAUAAAAUAGUAUGUUUAACGGUAUAUUUUAAAAGUAUAGCCGCACGGCUAUACUCCAUAAAUUAUCAUAUUUAAUAGUAUCGCCGUCGGGUAUACUCCAUGUACAGAAUAUUCUAAAAGUAUAGCCGCUCGGCUAUACCCCGUAAACAGUAUAUUUAAUAGUAUAGCCGGUCAGCUAUACCCCAUAAAUAGAAUAUUUUAACAGUAUAGCCGCUCGGCUAUACUUUAUAAAAAUAGUAGAAUCUUGAUUUCUCUUUUUUAAUUAGUUUAAUUAGUAGUUAUGUUUUAAUUAUUAUUUACUUAGUGAAUAAUUAGUAUUUAAAUAUUUUAUCAAAGAAAUUUUAAAAAAAAUUUAUAUACUAUUUAUUAAGUAAUAUAAUUUAUUAAGUUAAUUAAAAUAUUUAAUACUGAUUAUUCACUAAAGAAAUAAUAAUUAAAAUAUAAUUACUAAUGAAAGUAAUUAAAUAAAGCUAAGAUUUUAUUACUAAUAGAAAAGUUUUUCUCUUAAGAGAGGGAGAAUGAGUACCUGCACAAAUUGGAUCAGGUUGGAUUGAUUUGAAAAAAAAAAUAGAGUAAAAAAAGGGUUGGAUCGCAUCUAAAAUGAUAGCCCAAAACCUAUAUGAAAGCCCAUAAUCAAAAGAUGUUUGAGUUGGGUUCAGAAGUUGGACUGGACCACAGCUAGAAUGUUGGCCCAAACUUGAGGUCGGUUCCAGAGUUCACAGCUUAUAUUAAACGAAUAGGUGAUUAGGGAUUGUGGUUGAUUACAUUCGUUCUUGAAGAAAUCAGAAUUAUAUUCAUCGUCAAGAAAGAAACAUCCUUUCCUUAGCUCUCUCUCUCUCAAACAUGCUAAGAUCAGACGAGGAAGACGCUUCAGAGCUCAAGAUUGGAGACGGUAUCUAAAUAUUAUUUUCCCAAAGAUGUUUUCAAAUCCCUAAUGCACAAUUUUGGACAUUGUUAUCGAUGUGAUCCUAGGCAGAGUUUUACCUGCUGUUCGGCUGUUUUGUCAAUUUUCAAUAUCAUGAUACCUAAAGUUUUGUUUGUGUAUCAAUGAAAGAGGGUAGAAAACCAUCAAUUUUGUAUGUAUAAAGAAAAAGAAGUAUAGAAGAUGUGACAUUGUACCAGAAAGAAAGAAAGAAUGACUGUUGGCGUAUAUAUGAAUGAUAUAAACAUGAGUUUGUAUGGGACCUUGAUUGAAUUGUAAACGUAGUGAGGUUAAAGUUUGAAUAUAUUAAGUUAAUGACAUUGAGUUUGUGGUUGUGAAGAUUUCUUGAAGGCGAAAUGUUUAAUGAAUAGUGAGGUUGCCAUUCUGCUUGAGCAUAGAUGUGAUCAGAUGAAGCAUAUGUCUGGCGAUUCAACGACCCAACUUCCUCAGUAAGAUUUACAUUACACUCUCGUAAUCUCGUAAUCUCGUAAUCUCGUAAUCUCGUAUCGUAUAUUUAUUAUUGUAACCAUUACCAUACAUACAUUAUAUAUACAUAUAUGUUGUGGCUGUGUACUAGAACCAAAUAAGAACCAAGAACCAAGAACCAAAUGAUGAUGAUGAUGAUGAUGAUGAUAAUAUUUGAUCAAAAUGGAUGAUGAUGUUAUUUUCCUUUCCUGGCUGUGUAGAGUGUUGGAGAAAUCACUGCAGUAUGUUAAGCGCUUCAGUCGCUUCACGAAUCAGGGCUCUGUAAAGCAAGUUCGAGAGUAUCCUACAUUGCUUGCUUUCUUGUUGUUGAUUUAUAUACACUAUUACAUGUGGUAGUCUUCGUUGUUAUUCUUAAUAAAUAGCAUUCAGAGUCCUGAGUAGAUACCAAUUGGCUGAAUUCGAGGUAAUAAUUAGGGAGAUUCACUAUUAUACCCAAUAUAUAUUCGAGGUACCAAACCAAAACAUUCAUUCAAAACAACAAAUUAAUUUGUUAAUGUGUUCUGCCCUGCAGCUGGCUGUCAUUGGGAAUCUCUGUCCUGAAAAUGUGGAAGAAGCCAUGUCACUUGUGCCUUCCCUCAAGGUAUUUUUUUAUUUCCGUUUCAUCAUUGAUGUUUUUGUCUGCAAAACCUAUAAUUGAUGAACCUCCCUCCUCAUCAAAUUGCAGACCAAAGGACGUGGGCAUGAUGAAGAAGCCAUUGAGAGACUGUUAAAUGACCUCUUGAUGAUUAAAAAGUUUGAGUGAAAUAUGUGCUUCCUUCCAGCCUUCCAUGUUUCUGUGGUCAGCUGCUAGUUUAUAGCAUGUUUUGAUUUAUGGCCCAACGUACGGUCUUGUCUUGAGGCAGGCUUGGUUGUGUAUGGAGUUUAAGCAUAUGGGCCACGUUAGGCCAGACAACAAGACUAUCGAAGCACAGUCGAGUUUAAUUCAAGAAACAUAUUUCAUUUUCAGUUUUCAAAAUCGCCAUUAAUUUUGAAAACAACUUUAUAGUGUCUUUAGUCUUUUUCUGGAGCUACUUUCUCAUUCACCAAUUGUCAUCACUACACCGAUUUAAAAUUUGGCUCAAUUUAUGUCUACUAUAGAAGAAAGAUAAGAAACUCUUUCUGUGUGUUGCCGAUUUAACUCCAGAAAUGAAGAACAUGCAUCGUCUUCGUCCAACCAUACGUAUACAUAUACGUUUAUUCUCUUUUGAUAAUAAAAGAUGGUGUAAUUGAUUUGAAGUAGCAAUAAUGAAGUUGAGGCUGAGGUAGCAUGUAAUGUAACGUAACCCAACUCUACCCUAUCAAUGUCAUCCCUAUUUAUAACUUUAACAACUAGUUAUGCGCAGCAGAGUACAGGGCCUCAUAAAAUAAUUAACGAAAAAGCUAUUCAUUCAAUUCAAUUCCAUAUUGGAGGUGUGAAAUUGAAAUUGGUCAGUCUGAUAAAUUAUUAUAUAUGUGGAUGGUGUGGUGGAAGCAAGGAAGGAAGGGAGGCCCCUGGUGGUUCCAUUCCAUCCACCUUCACGAAUGUUACUCCCCCAAUUCAAACCUGACCUCACAGACUGACACUAUUAAUUAAUAAUGAUAUACAUAUAAUAUAUAUAUAUAUAUACGUCUUGUUAUAAGAAAAUUUUCAUUUAAUUGUCCAAGAAAAUUACAGAAGUAAUUUAAUUAUGUUUUUUGUUUGUUGGAAAUAAUAUUAAAUUUGUUGAGGGUACAAGAAUACAAGGAGUUAAUUUCAUGGUGUCAGCUGCACAAACUGAUGAAGGAGGAUGAGAAAGAAGAAAGCAGGAAAAAAACAAGUGUAGUAGGUUUGGUUUCCAGUUUCCAGUUGCAUCUGUUGGCUCUGUUGGCUCUGUUAGCUCUGUUAGCUCUGGCUUUCGCAGGAUCACAGGCUCUCUCUGAGUACUGGCAGUCAGCCCUGGCUUGUUAAUUGUGGGAUAUUAUAUACAUAUAUAUAACAUGCAGGGGAACGUCUACAUCUUUCCUUCUCGGUAUUCUAUGCGAUGUGAAAGCUCAGUGACAUCCAGUUUUAUGCUUGACACACACACACUCUCUCUCUCUCUGAUAUACUCGCUCUUGUUCAAUUCAAUUCUAUUCAAUUCAAUUCUAUUCUCAAUUAUGACCAACCUAUGGAUGGGAGAUGGGGGGGCGGUGGUUGAUUUCAAUGUUGCCUCGGGCUUUAUGAACAAUAGGAAAAAAGAAACAAAAAAAAGUCAAAAGAAGUCAAAUUCCAAACAAAAGUUUCAAAGGCCCCAAAGCAAAACCCCAUUUUUUUCACCAUAAAGAAAGAAAGAUUAGACAUCAUCCAUAGUAGGCUGCUGCUGCUACUAGCAAAGCCUAGCUAGUAGGCCUUCCCUUUUUGUUGUCAAAAAGACGUUGGAAUUGCUGAAUAAAGUAGAGGCCUUUUCUCUCUCUCUC
Molecule: long non-coding RNA, 58576 nt
Filed under: Prunus persica (peach)
Lineage: Eukaryota; Viridiplantae; Streptophyta; Magnoliopsida; Rosales; Rosaceae
Description: long non-coding RNA (PPER_LNC005542)
Rfam family: Plant small nucleolar RNA R71 (bases 5592-5698)
Source: RNAcentral